RNAcentral lists this long non-coding RNA (59974 nucleotides) under Eucalyptus grandis. RNAcentral's name for it is "long non-coding RNA (EGRA_LNC005211)". Lineage: Eukaryota; Viridiplantae; Streptophyta; Magnoliopsida; Myrtales; Myrtaceae. The record is from RNAcentral.
UGUCUUUACCCUUCUUGAUAUCGUCCUCCUUGAGCUCACAACCCUCUUGGACGUGGUACUCGCUAGUCAUCUUGCAGACACAUCCACUACCAGCAGCAACGAAUUUCACAUCUUCCACGACCAAGUCAAUCUUGUCAAAUUUUAUAUCACUUUCAAUCAUAGUAUAUUUGCAGUAAAAGCUACCAGCAUCAAGAGCAUCGAUCUUGUGCUUGAUGUACUUGAUGUGGGAGCCUGUUAUGGAAAUUCAUUAAAGCGAAGAAGUUAGUUAUUAAUUGUAAGGUCUAUAUAUAGACUUGACAUGGUAGAAGUAUGAGUAUGAUUUGACUUACUUUCACCGAAGUUGGUUUGCUUGAUGCUACCAACUCCACCAUCUCCCUCGAUGAACUCAAUGCUCUUGAUGCCCUCGGGAACAAUCUUGGGUAGCAUAUUCUGUGAGUCAAGGAACAAAGCCUUGAACAUCCUUGACGGUGCAACAACACUUGUGAUCUCUUGCGAAUAGGUGAUGACGCCCAUGUUGGCCUUGUAAGAGACAAAGAGAACAGAACUCAAGAGGGGGUGGUGGAAAGGUUCGGUGUGAUUGCUAAAGGAGAAGGCUUGAGCUGAUGAAGCUGAUGAAGAUGAUGAAGAGAACUCCUUGGUACUUAUAGCCAAAGUCCAUCGUUUAUUAUUCCGUCAUUCAAGGUCAAAGCUCGCCGAAUUGGACCCAGCCGAAUUGCUUUCCAGCCUUUCUUUUUUUUUCUUAUUGGCCGGAGCCACCGAUCAUCUGGAAGGUCACGAAAAAGGACAAUUCACGGUCAAAGCUCUUUUGUCUGGCCAUUAUAUAAAUUUUCGCAAACGUUGUGGGCCCAUCACGAUAGUCUAUAGACUCUAUACUUGGUAUUCCACUUCUCUAGAAAAAGUAAUUCAAAUGGAAUAUUUUGGACGUAAAGUUAAUCAUCCAUUUUCGUAAAGAAAGCGUAAAAUAAGCGAGUCUAGAUAAAUUAAUCUCUUUCUCACCUCUAAAUUGCCUGCAUAAAAUAUUUGUCAAAAAUUGAAUUUUUUAUACCAUAAACUCAUUCAGACACAAAUUUUAGGCUUAAUAUCAUAUGGCCAUGACCACCUUUGCUAAAGCAUAACUCUAUGUUCGUUGGUUGUGCUACCAAGGACAGAUGCAGAAAUAAGUUUAGGAGCUGAUUCCCUUGGGGAAAGGACAGACUUCUAGCUACGACCAUCAAAUAAAUGUCUAAUUUUUAAUAUAGAUGGUGCAUGAAAAGAUAACAAAUGAGCUAUAGGUAUUUUGCAUGAUCGACUAGUGGCUAAGUAGUCCAACCUUGGACCAAAAAAUAAAAACGUUGGAACUCGUCGAUGGAAGUGUAAGCAGCAGCUCUUAUUCUCGCAUGCAUUUAUGCUCAGUCCCUCGGCAUCAGAAAAGACUGAUUGCGAUGUCUUAAUUAAUGUCUCCCUUUCAUCACAAAUUCUUACUUCCUACUUCAACACAAUACGGGCUGGAGUUAGGCUUGGGCCCAUGAACCUAAUAAUGGAGCUACUCAUGCGCUUCCAAAUUGGGCAUUCAAUCAAAUAGGAGCUACCUUUUCUUUUUUACAAACUCCUAUCUAAGUUAAAAAUAUUAUAUUAGUAGUCUUCUUUGAUUUAUUAUUUUAAUUCGGGUAUCGCAUCCUGAAUGUAAUGAAAAGUUAUUUCUAGGGGGAAAAAAGGGACAUUGGCGGAGCCCUUUUUUAUCCUUUUUAUCAACUAGAUCCGAUUUAUUGUGCUUCUGAUUUGUUUAUUAUUAUUAUUCUGGAUAUUGUGCUUCUGUUUACGAAAGGCCAGUUUUUGCUAGUUUGACUUUAAAUUGCCAUUGUAGCUAAGUCAUAAUAUCGAAAUGACCGUACCCAAAACUCCCUACGGAAAACUUAGGUUAUCUCACAAAGGCACAUGUCCCUAUCAUGACCAUUCUUCCACUUCUUUUAAUAUUUUUCUACCUAUUAUUUUUCUUUUGUGGUAGUUAAAUUUUCUCCCUUUUAUUCAGGAAACAACGGUUGCCUUCCAUGAUUUUCAAAGAAGAACACUAUAGCUUAAUUAAUCCAUGUUAAGUUGUUUAAUUAUGAUUAAUACAAUUAGUGGAAAAUUUUUAUUUCUUAUAAAUCAAAUUGGAUAAAAAAAAAAAAACAGGGUCCCACUGUAUUCUCAUCAAAAGCAGAAUGAUUAUGUAACCAAAUGUUGUAGAUUAUAGAGUCAAAGCGAAUUCUUUGUAAAAAAAUUGCCAAUCUAUCCAAGACUACAUGUUCAUCUUUAGGUGAUGCCACCCAUCUUUGCCUUGAAACGAACUCGAGUAGGAAAUGGAAGGAUCUGGUUUGGUGUGAUAGAAGAAGGCUUUAGCUGAUGAAGAUGAUGAAGAGAAAUCUAUAGUACUUACAACCAUGGCAAGUCCAGAGUUCAGCACUCCAUCAUCAUCAUUCAAAGUACAAAGCACUCCCAAUUGGACCGGGCGACCUACUUUCAAGCCUUUCUUGUUUUCCUUUUGGGAAGAACCAAUCCAGAAGGUUAGGAAAGGACAAAUCACGAUUAAAAGCUCUUUUGUCUGGCCCCGAUUUGCCUGGAUACGAUCUUUCUCGUGAAGAAAAUUGAAUUUUCAUGCUAUGAACUGAUUUAGACACAGAUUUAAGCUUAUAACAGACAACCAUGACCACCAUUGCUAAGAUAUGAUUCUACGUUCGUUCGUUGCGCCAUCAGGGAUGGCCGCAGAGCGCUUUUGCUUUCUUUCCCUUUUCUUUUCGCUUUUGCUCUGUUUCCGAAGGGCAAUUUUGCUAGUUUGACUUUUCAAAUGCCUUUGAUAGCUACGUCCUCGGAUCCAAAUGACCGUACUCUAAAUUUGGAUCAACCCAUCAAAUUUUUUGCUAAGUUCUUUUCUACCUUUUAUUUUAUUUUAUUGUUUCUAGCCAAAUUUUCUCCAUUUUGUUUGGCAGGAUGGAUUUAAUUAGGUAAACAAUCUCAAUGUUUGCUUUCAGGAUUUGCGAAGAAGCAUACUACAGCUUAAUUUAUCAAUUUUAAGUUGCAUAGUUUUGAUGAAUACAAUUAGUGGAAAAAAAAUUAACAAAUCAAAUUGGAUUAAUUCAUUUUUCCCUCAAUCUCUUCUUUUUGCAACUGAUCCAUAAGUCAAGUCAAAAUUCACCUUCAUGACCACAAAGGAAGAUCUUUUCUUGGGUAAAACCCAUAAUUUAUUGGAUUGUUCAUUGCUCCUUCAAUUUUUUUGGCAUGGCCUUACACACAACCAUCAAAUCCCUUUACACUGUAGAAAUCACACAAUAAAACCUUUUCACCCAAAGGCUCCAAGGCAGAGCCAAUGUGAAAACAAAAGAUACAAUAGAGACAUUUCACUCGCUUUGCUAUAUCAUAAUUCAAAACGGAUCUUCAACAUAGCAUUUAGGCACAAACAUCGGGAUUGGCCACAAGGUACUCCUCAAUAGCCUUGUACAAUCCCAUAGCUCUAUCUUUACCCUUCUUGAUAUCCUCCUCCUUGAGCUCACAACCCUCUUGGACGUGGUACUCGCUGGUCAUCUUGCAGACACAUCCACUUCCAGCCGCAACGAAUUUCACAUCUUCCACGACCAAGUCAAUCUUGUCAAAUUUUAUAUCACUUUCAAUCAUAGUAUAUUUGCAGUAAAAGCUGCUAGCGUCAAGAGCAUCGAUCUUGUGCUUGAUGUACUUGAUGUGGGAGCCUGUUAUGCAAAUUCAUUAAAGCGAAGAAGUUAGUUAUUAAUUCUAAGGUCUAUAUAUAGACUUGACAUCGUAGAAGUAUGAGAAUGAUCUAACUUACUUUCACCGAAGUUGGUUUGCUUGAUGCUACCAACUCCACCAUCUCCCUCAAUGAACUCAAUGCUCUUGAUGCCCUCGGGAACAAUCUUGGGCAGCAUAUUCUGUGAGUCAAGGAACAAAGCCUUGAACAUCCUUGACGGUGCAACGACACUUGUGAUCUCUUGCGAAUAGGUGAUGACACCCAUGUUGGCCUUGUAAGAGAUAAAGAGAACUGAACUCAAGACGGGGUGGUGGAAAGGUUCGGUGUGAUUGCUAAAGGAGAAGGCUUGAGCUGAUGAAGAUGAUGAAGCGAACUCCUCGGUACUUGUAGGCAACGUCCAUCGUUUAUUAUUCCAUCAUUCAAGGUCAAAGCACGCCGAAUUGGACCCAGCCAAAUUGCUUUCCAGCCUUUCUUUCUUUUUUUCUUAUUGGCUGGAGCCACCGAUCACGUGGAUGGUUAGGAAAAAGGACAAAUCACGGUCAAAGCUCUUUUGUCUGGCCAUUAUUAUAAAAUUUUCGCGGACAUUGUAGGCCCAUCACGAUACUCUAUACUUGGUAUUCCACCUCUCUAGAAAAAAUAAUUCAAAUAGAAUAUUUUGGUCAUAAUGUUAAAUCAUCCAUUUUCGUCGGAGCGAAAGCGUAAAAUAGAUGAGUCUAUAUAAGUUAGUCUCUUUCUUAGCUCCAAAUUGCCUGGAUAUAAUAUUUGUCAAAAAAAAAUAUCAAAUUUUUUAUAUCAUGAACUCAUUCAAACACAAAUUUUAAGCUUAAUAUCAUAUGGCCAUGACCACCUUUGCUAAGGCAUUACUCUAUGUUCGUUGGUUGAGCUAUCAAGGACUGACGCAGAAUUAAGUUGAGGAGCUGAUUCCCUUGGGGAAAGGACAGACUUCUGGCUGCGACUAUCAAAUAAAUGUCCAAUUUUUAAUGUAGAUGGUGUAUGAAAGGAUAACAAAUGAGCUAUGGGUAUUUUGCAUGAUCGACAAGUGGCUAAGUAGUCCAACCUUCGACAAAAAGAAAAAGAAAAAGAAACAUUGGAACUCGUUGAUGGAAGUGUAAGCAGCAGCUCUUAUUCUCGCAUGCAUUUAUGCUCAGUCCCUCGGCAUCAGAAAAGACUGAUUGCAAUGUCUUAAUUAAUGUCUCCCUUUCAUCGCAAAUUCUUACUUCCUACUUCAACACAAUAUGGGUUGGAGUUAGGCUUGGACCAUGAACCUAAUAAUGGAGCUACUCAUGCGCUUCCAAAUUGGGCAUUCAAUCAAAUAGGAGCUACCUUUUCUCUUUUACAAACUCCUAUCUAAGUUAAAAAUAUUAUAUUAGUAUUCUUCUUUAAUUUAUUAUUCUAAUGCGGGUAUCACAUCUUGAAUGUAAUGAAAAGUUAUUUCUAGGGGGAAAAAAGGGACAUUGGCGGAGCUUUUUUUUUUUUUUAUCAAAGUGGAUCCGAUUUAUUGUGCUUCUGAUUUGUUUAUUAUUAUUAUUCUGGAUAUUGUGCUUCUGUUUAUAAAAGGCCAGUUUGCUAGUUUGAUUUCAAUUGCCAUUGUAGCUAAGUUAUGGAAUCGAAAUGACCGUACCCAAAACUCCGUACCCAAAACUUAGGUUACCUCACAGAGGCAAAUGUCCCUAUCAUGACCGUUCUUCUACUUCUUUUAAUUUUUUUCUACCUGUUAUUUUUCUUUUGUGGUAGUUAAAUUUUCUCCCUUUUAUUUGGGAAACAUUGCUUGCCUUCCGUGAUUUUCAAAGAAGAACACUAUAGCUUAAUUAAUCCAUGUUAAGUUUUUUAACUAUGAUUAAUACAGUUAGUGGAAAAAAUUUAUUUCUUAUAACUCAAAUUGGAUAAAAAAAUACAGAGUCCCAAUGUAUUCUCAUCAAAAGCAAAAUGAUUCACUACCACUUCUUUUAUUUUCUAGAUUGCCAGAUUAUACCAUCAUUGUCCCAUUAAAUUGCAUUUCUUUUCAUCCGAUGACAAUCUUUCUCAAUUAGGGAAUGUAUAAUGAAAUGCGCAUCCUUUUGCCCUCUAUCUCUGCUUUAUGCAACUCAUCUAGAAGUCAAGUGAAAAUUCACCUUCAUGAUUACAAAGGGAGCUAUUUGAAAAAAAGUCAUGGACAUUUUCCUUUUAUAAAAUUAGAUAGAGUCAACUGAGAGACCUAAUUGUACCGAUUUGAUGAAUUUAAUAUUUGAUUGCCUUUUAAUAGGUUUUUUAAUUCAAUUGUAUUUUCUGAUCAAAAGAAAAAGUGAGAUAGAUGUGUUUAGGGAAAAUUUGGGCAUUUCAAUACACAUUUCUUUAUUAGAACCAUCUUGCCAAAUAAAAUGGAUAAAUUUGGCCAAAUAAAAAUAAAAUAAAUUGGAGAAAAUUUGACUGGCCAAAGUAAGGUAGCAGCCUGCCAGGCAGUUAUCUAAUGGUGAUCUUUGUUUUGCCGAUAAGUCUCCAUCUAAGAAAAAAUAAAAAUAAAAAUAAAAAGUAGAAAAGAACUUAGCAGAAUGUUACAAAAGAAAAACAACGUCGCCCAAGAGAGAGUUUGGGUGCGUUUGUCUUUGUGGAUUAGAAAGAGAGAACUCUGUGGAUGAGAGAGAAAGAGAACUGCCUCUUGCUUGGAAACUUUCAUGUGUGAAGGGAAAUUUUUAUGGACUUUGACUCUCACGCCAUGAGACCGCGAUGCUAGCACUAUUCUAAUCAAAGUAUAGACGACAGUCAUUUGGAUUCAAUGACGUGGCUAUAAUGGCCUUUGAAAAGUCAAACUAGCAAACUUGCCUUUCGAGAAUGGAAGGACGAUAUAUCUGAUAUCAAGCGUAAAAUUCAUGUCAACAUCAGUUUUAAUUAUUUUUUUUAAAUCAACUUUUUCUUUGCGGAAAGGACCUUGUCUAAUCAAAUCGGACCAAAAAGGGACUAACUCAUCUAAACUCGUCCAUUUCAUGUUAUGAUUCUGGUGGAGUCAGAGCUUCAUAAUUAGGCUCACCAGCUCUGCAAUCACCUCUCGUACACAGAUUAGUUUAUAAAAGAAAAGUACAUUUAUUACAUACAUUGAUGUCAAAGAUUGACAAUCCGCAAUCGUUUUUCUCAUUUUCUUACUAAUCCAUAAAAUCCACUUUUUAUUAACGAAGAGAAAAAGAAUUUCAUUUUUGAUAAAAUGACUUUUUUAAAAUUAAGUUAUUCCACAAGAAGAAAAUAAAGGGUCGUUAAAUUUCAAGUUUAUAGUUUCACAACAAAAAUUAGAAGAUUGACUUCACAUUUGGAAUUGCACAAACAAAAAGUUAUUUAUCUUAAAGAGGUGAUAAAUAAGAAGACACAAAUAAUGAUAAAUAAAAACUAAGAUGUGAACAAAGCAAGAUUUUACGGGCCAAAAAUAAAAAAGAAGCGAGAUUUGAAAGAAAGUAAAAGAGCAAUAAAAGGUCAAUUCCAAUAAUCCAGCAGUUGUAUAUAAUAAUUUUCUUUCGGUUUGAUAAUGAUAUCCACGUUCCACUCUUCUAGAUGACGGACAGCGCCGCUGAAUAAGAAAAGAAGAAAGGCUUAAAUCAAGGCCGACUAGUCUAACUCGGUGUGCUUUGAACUUUGGAAGGUGAUGGGAUACUAACCAAUGACUUGCUUAUAAGUACCAAGUAGUUCUCUUCAUCAUCUUCAUCAGCUCGAGCCCUCUCCAUUAGCAAUCACGCCAAACCCUUCCACUACCCCUCUUUAGUUCAGUUCUCUUUGUUUCUCACAAGGCAAACAUGGGAAUCGUCACCUACUCGAUGGAGAUCACAAGUGCUGUCGCACCGUUGAGGAUGUUCAAGGCUUUAUUCCUUGAGUCCCACGAUAUCCUACCGAAGAUUGUUCCCGAGGGCAUCAAAAGCAUUGAGUUCAUUGAGGGAGAUGGCGGAGUUGGUAGCAUCAAGAAAACCAACUUCGGUGAAAGUAAGUCGGAUCAUACUUGUACUUCUAUCAUGUGAAGUCUAUAUAUAAACCUCAAGAUUAAGGAUUAAUUUCUUUGCUUUAAUGAAUUUACACAAUAGGCUCACACAUCAAGUACACGAAGCACAAGAUCGAGGCUCUCGAUGCAGAUAGCUUUUACUGCAAAUAUACUAUGAUCGAAAGUGAUAUCAAGUUUGACAAGAUCGACUUUGUCACGGAAGAAGUGAAAUUCAUCGCGGCUAGUAGUGGAUGUGUUUGUAAGAUGACCAGCGAGUACCACAUUCAGGAAGGUUGUGAGCUGAAGGAGGAGGACAUCAAGAAGGGAAAAGACAGAGCUAUGGGAUUGUACAAGACUGUUGAGGAGUACCUUGUGGCCAACCCUAAUGUUUGCGCCUAAAUGCUUUUUUCAAGAUCCUUUUUGAGUUAUGAUAUAGCAAAGUGAGUGGAAAGUUUGUAUUGUAUCUUCUGUUUCCCCUUUGGUUGUGCCUCGGAGCUUUUGGGUGAGGAAAGUUUAUAAUGGGAUUUUUAUGUUAUAAAGGGUUUGAUGGUUGUGUGUAAGGCCACGCCAAAAAUAAAACUUGAAGGAGCAAUGAGCAAUCCAAUAAAUUAUGGAUUUUGCCCAAGAAGAGAUCUCCCUUUAUGGCCAUGAAGGUGAAUUUUCACUAGCCUCAUAGAUGAGUUGCAUAAAGAAGAGAUAAGAGGGCAAAAAGAAGUGCAAGGGAAAAUUGGGCAUUUCAUUAUCCAUUUCCUAAGCUUUAUAGAUUGUCAUCAGGUGAAAAGAAAUGGAAUUUAAUGGGACAAUAAAAAAAAAAUAUCCAUUUCCACAUCUCGCCUAGAUCCAGUCAUUUCGAUUUGAUGAAAAUAAAUGCAUUUCCUAAGCGAGAGCAUUUCAUUAGAGUAUAGUCAUUUCGUUUCAAUGACUUAGCUAUAGUGGCCUUUGAAAUGUGAAACUAGGAAAAUUGUCUUUCGAAACAGAAGUACAUUAAAAAGGAUCCACUUUGAAUUUUUUUUUUAAUAAAAAAUAGUGCAUUGAAAGUCCUUAAACUUGUCAUUGAAGUGCAACUAAGUUUUAAUACUUUUAAAAAGUAUAAUUACGUCCUAAAAUUUAUCAAAUUAGUCCAAUCAAAUCUCUCCGUUGAUUACAUUUUUGAAAGUUUUAGGGAUUGAUUACAUUUUUGUAAUAAAUUUUAGAAUUUGAUUACACAUUUUGAAAGUUUUACGACUUGACUAUACUUUUAUUAUAAGUGUUAUGAUUUAAUUGCACUUUUUGAAAGUUUUAAGACUCAAAAUAUACUUUGGUGACAAGUUUUAGGACUUUCAAUAAAUUUAUCUCUAAAAAAAUAGCGCUCCUCUAUUGUCUUUUUUUUUUUUUUUUCCCUAGAUGCAAAACCUACAUUAUUAGGUUUAACGGUUGAAGCCUAACUCCAACCCGGAUUGUGUUAAAAUAGGAAGCAGGAAUCUAUGAUGAAAGGUCAAAUACUCUGAGGGCAAAGAACUUUUUGUUGGAUUACAUCAAUUAAGACAUUACAAUCGGUUUUAAACAUUUCUUUUUAGAUGCCAAGAGACUGAGCAUAAUUGCAGGCAAGAAGAAGAGUAGCUGCUCACACCUCCCCUUCCAACGCUCUCUUCAUGUCCCAGCUUUGACUACUAAGCCGCUAGCUGAUCAUGUAAUAAUACCUGCGGCUCCUUUGUUAUCUUUUCAUGCACCAUCUUCAUUAAAUUUUAGCCCCUGAUCUGACGGUGAGAGCGAGGAAUCUGUCAUCUUCCCAACAGAAUCGGCUCCUAAACUUCUUUCUGCAGCUGUCCUCGACAGCGCAACGAAUGAACAUAGAAUUAUGCCUUAGUAAAGGUGGUCAUGGCUGUCUGAUAUCAAGUCUAAAAUCCGUGCCUGAAUGAGUUCAUGAUAUAAAAAAAUUCAAUUUUUUUUCAAUAAAGAUUGUAUUAAGGCAAUUCGGAGCUGAAUAAAGGGAUUAACUUAUCUAGACUUGCCUAUUUUACUUUUUUGUUCUGAUAACGGAUAAUUCACAUUAUGACCAAAAUAUUUGAUUUGAAUUACUUUUUCUAGAGAGGUGGCAUACUCGGUAUGGAAUAUGGAAUAUUGUAUUGGGCUCACAGUGUCUGCAAAUGAAUGUGUAAUUUUUUAUUAAUUGUAACAAAUUUAUAAUAAUGGCCAGACAAAAGAGCUUUGAUCGAGAUUUGCCUUUUUCUUCACCUUCCAGAUAAUUGGUGGCUCCUCCCGAUAAGAAAACAAGAAAGGCUGGAAAGUAAUUCGGCUCAGUCCAAUUCGGAGUGAUCGGAACUUUGAUUGAUGAUGGAGUACUAAGCCUUGGACUUUGCUAAGUGCCAAGUAGUUCUCUUCCUUGUCUUCAUCAGCUCAAGGCUUCUCCAUUAGCAAUCAUACCAAACCCUUCCACCACCGUUCUUAAGUUCCGUUCUCUUUGUCACCUACUCGAUGGAGAUCACAAGUGCCGUCACACCGUCGAGGAUGUUCAAGGCUUUAGUCCUUGACUCCCACAACAUCCUACCCAAGAUUGCUCCCGAGGGCAUCAAAAGUGUGGAGUUCAUCGAGGGAGAAGGCAGAGUUGGUAGCAUCGAGCAAACCAACUUUGGUGAAAGUAAGUUAGAUCAUGCUCAUACUUCUACCGUAGCAAGUCUAUAUAUAGACCUCAGAAUUAUGAAUUAACUUAUUCAUUUUGAUGAAUUAACAUAAUAGGCUCCCACAUCAAGUACAUGAAACACAAGAUAGAGGCUCUCAAGGCAGGUAGCUUUUACUGCAAAUAUACUAUGAUCGAAAGCGAUAUCAAGUUCGACAAGAUUGACUUCAUUGUGGAAUAAGUGAAAUUUGUCGCAACAAAUAGCAGAUACGUUUGUAAGAGGACCAGCGAGUACCACAUUCAGGAAGGUUGUGAGCUAAAGGAGGAGGAUAUCAAGAAAGGUAAAGACAAAGUUAUGGGAUUGUACAAGGCUGUUGAGGAAUACCUCAUGGCCAACCCUGAUGUUUGCGCCCAAAUGCUUUUCUCAAGAUCCUUUUGGAGUUAAGACAAAGUAAAGUGAGUGGAAAGUUUGUAGUGAAUUUUUUGUUUCCCCUUCGUGGCUCUGCCUUGGAGCCUUUGGGUGAGAAAAGGUUUUUAUGGUGUGAUUUCUAUGUUAUAAAGGGUCGGAUGUUUGUGUGUAAGGCCAUGCAAAAAAUUAGAACUUGAAGGAGGAAUGAGCAAUCCAAUAAAUUAUGGAUUUUGCCCAAGCAAUCCACUUCCAGCCGCAACGAAUUUCACAUCUUCCACGACCAAGUCAAUCUUGUCAAAUUUGAUAUCACUUUCAAUCAUAAUAUAUUUGCAGUAAAAGCUGCCAGCGUCAAGAGCAUCGAUCUUGUGCUUGAUGUACUUGAUGUGGGAGCUUGUUAUGCAAAUUCAUUAAAGCGAAGAAGUUAGUUAUUAAUUCUAAGGUCUAUAUAUAGACUUGACAUGGUAGAAGUAUGAGUAUGAUCUGACUUACUGAAGUUGGUUUGCUUGAUGCUACCAACUCCACCAUCUCCCUCGAUGAACUCAAUGCUCUUGAUGCCCUCGGGAACAAUCUUGGGUAGCAUAUUCUGUGAGUCAAGGAACAAAACCUGAACAUCUUGACGGUGCAACGACACUUGUGAUCUUUUGCGAAUAGGUGAUGACACCCAUGUUGGCCUUGUAAGAGAUAAAGAGAACUGAACUCAAGAGGGGGUGGUGGAAGGGUUUGGUGUGAUUGCUAAAGGAGAAGGCUUGAGCUGAUAAAGAUGAUGAAGAGAACUCCUCGGUACUUAUAGGCGAAGUCCAUUGUUUAGUAUUCCAUCAUUCAAGGUCAAAGCACGCCGAAUUGGACCCAGCCGAAUUGCUUUCCAGCCUUUCUAUUUUUCUUAUUGGCUGGAGCCACCGAUCACGGGGAAGGUUAGGCUAAAGGACAAAUCACGGUCAAAGCUCUUUUGUCUGGCCAUUAUUAUAAUUUUUCGCAGACAUUAUGGGCCCAUCACGAGACUCUAUUCCACCUCUCUAGAAAAAGUAAUUCAAAUAGAUAUUUGUCAUAUGUAAUCAUCCGUUUUCAUCAGAGCAAAAGCGUAAAAUAGAUGAGUCUAGAUAAGUUAAUCUCUUUCUCAGCUCCAAAUUGUCUGGAUAUAAUCUUUGUCAAAAAAUAAAAAAUUAAAUAACGAGGGAAGGAAAAAAGUAUACGGAACGAGAAGUGAAGGCGGGGGCAGGUUUUUCCUCCCUCUGGAAAGUUUUUCGCUUUUCUUUUUCCCUUCUCUCUCGUCAUAGGCAAAUUCCUGCCGGUAAGAAUGUGGAGAAGAACAGACAGGCUCAAAGACCGGAAUAAGGACAUCCACUCGCCCUAAACAAAUGAAUAAGGUUGGAGAGGGCUUUCGCUCUCGACCGCGGGCCUCCCCUGGAAAGAUCCAAACCUUCCUCUUCGGAGCGGAAACGGACGUGGCCAAAACAUAUAAAGAUCGGCGUAGUCGCUCUUAAUGUUGAAUCUUCCACCCCUGAACGGUGAACAAACCAAUCUACUUCUUCCGGAUCACCCUCGGAUCGCUCACUCCAUACGAUCUAAUCGUGAACUCAUUCAUACACAAAUUUUAAACUUAAUACCAAACAGCCAUAACCACAUUUGUUAAGGCAUAAUUCUAUGUUCGUUGGUUGAGCUAUCAAGGACAGACGCAGAAAUAAGUUGAGGCGCUAAUUCCCUUGGGGAAAGGACAGACUUCUGGCUGUGACCGUCAAAUAAAUGUCCAAUUUUUAACUUAGAUGGUGCAUGAAAGGAUAACAAAUAAGCUAUGGGUAUUUUGCAUGAUUGACUAGUGGCUAAGUAGUCCAACAUUGGACAAAAAAAAAAAGAAUGUUGGAACUCGUUGAUGGAAGUGCAAGCAGCAGCUCUUAUUCUCGCAUGCAUUUAUGCUCAGUCCCUCGGCAUCAGAAAAGACUGAUUGCGAUGUCUUAAUUAAUGUCUCCAUUUCAUCGCAAAUUCUUAGGCAGAAGAACAGUCCAAGUGCCAUAACUUGGUAUGGGAGGACACUUAAGUGCCAUAACUUCAAAAUGGUAUACUUGAGUGCCAGUUUCGAAGUUAAAUGGAACACUUAAGUACCACUCCGGCGAAAAUCCGGCCAAAUGACUGACGUGGCAAUUUUCCGGCGAGUUUGGUCCAAAAUGACGUUAUUUUGCACGCUGGUGUGGCGAGAAAAUGCAAAAACAGCACUGUUUCGUGUUUGACAUGUAAAUAAUAAUAUAAAAACUAAUAAAUUAGAUUUAAACUUAAUUUUAUUUAAAAUAUUCUAAAAAUAAAAAAAGGGGUGGGGGGGAGGGAGGUCGAAGGGGGCGGCUGAGGGCUAAUCCCUCGCCNNNNNNNNNNNNNNNNNNNNNNNNNNNNNNNNNNNNNNNNNNNNNNNNNNNNNNNNNNNNNNNNNNNNNNNNNNNNNNNNNNNNNNNNNNNNNNNNNNNNNNNNNNNNNNNNNNNNNNNNNNNNNNNNNNNNNNNNNNNNNNNNNNNNNNNNNNNNNNNNNNNNNNNNNNNNNNNNNNNNNNNNNNNNNNNNNNNNNNNNNNNNNNNNNNNNNNNNNNNNNNNNNNNNNNNNNNNNNNNNNNNNNNNNNNNNNNNNNNNNNNNNNNNNNNNNNNNNNNNNNNNNNNNNNNNNNNNNNNNNNNNNNNNNNNNNNNNNNNNNNNNNNNNNNNNNNNNNNNNNNNNNNNNNNNNNNNNNNNNNNNNNNNNNNNNNNNNNNNNNNNNNNNNNNNNNNNNNNNNNNNNNNNNNNNNNNNNNNNNNNNNNNNNNNNNNNNNNNNNNNNNNNNNNNNNNNNNNNNNNNNNNNNNNNNNNNNNNNNNNNNNNNNNNNNNNNNNNNNNNNNNNNNNNNNNNNNNNNNNNNNNNNNNNNNNNNNNNNNNNNNNNNNNNNNNNNNNNNNNNNNNNNNNNNNNNNNNNNNNNNNNNNNNNNNNNNNNNNNNNNNNNNNNNNNNNNNNNNNNNNNNNNNNNNNNNNNNNNNNNNNNNNNNNNNNNNNNNNNNNNNNNNNNNNNNNNNNNNNNNNNNNNNNNNNNNNNNNNNNNNNNNNNNNNNNNNNNNNNNNNNNNNNNNNNNNNNNNNNNNNNNNNNNNNNNNNNNNNNNNNNNNNNNNNNNNNNNNNNNNNNNNNNNNNNNNNNNNNNNNNNNNNNNNNNNNNNNNNNNNNNNNNNNNNNNNNNNNNNNNNNNNNNNNNNNNNNNNNNNNNNNNNNNNNNNNNNNNNNNNNNNNNNNNNNNNNNNNNNNNNNNNNNNNNNNNNNNNNNNNNNNNNNNNNNNNNNNNNNNNNNNNNNNNNNNNNNNNNNNNNNNNNNNNNNNNNNNNNNNNNNNNNNNNNNNNNNNNNNNNNNNNNNNNNNNNNNNNNNNNNNNNNNNNNNNNNNNNNNNNNNNNNNNNNNNNNNNNNNNNNNNNNNNNNNNNNNNNNNNNNNNNNNNNNNNNNNNNNNNNNNNNNNNNNNNNNNNNNNNNNNNNNNNNNNNNNNNNNNNNNNNNNNNNNNNNNNNNNNNNNNNNNNNNNNNNNNNNNNNNNNNNNNNNNNNNNNNNNNNNNNNNNNNNNNNNNNNNNNNNNNNNNNNNNNNNNNNNNNNNNNNNNNNNNNNNNNNNNNNNNNNNNNNNNNNNNNNNNNNNNNNNNNNNNNNNNNNNNNNNNNNNNNNNNNNNNNNNNNNNNNNNNNNNNNNNNNNNNNNNNNNNNNNNNNNNNNNNNNNNNNNNNNNNNNNNNNNNNNNNNNNNNNNNNNNNNNNNNNNNNNNNNNNNNNNNNNNNNNNNNNNNNNNNNNNNNNNNNNNNNNNNNNNNNNNNNNNNNNNNNNNNNNNNNNNNNNNNNNNNNNNNNNNNNNNNNNNNNNNNNNNNNNNNNNNNNNNNNNNNNNNNNNNNNNNNNNNNNNNNNNNNNNNNNNNNNNNNNNNNNNNNNNNNNNNNNNNNNNNNNNNNNNNNNNNNNNNNNNNNNNNNNNNNNNNNNNNNNNNNNNNNNNNNNNNNNNNNNNNNNNNNNNNNNNNNNNNNNNNNNNNNNNNNNNNNNNNNNNNNNACGUUCGCUGAUAGAGACCGCCGCCGGUCGGCCGAGGGUCGGUGACCCCAACGAACCCUCCCCUCUCUGUCGCCGGCCCUUCCCAGCGAGGGGUCAGCCCUCAGCCGCCCCCUUCGAUCUCCCCUCUUUUUUUUUUCUUAAAUUUUUUUAAUUUUUAGAAUAUUUUAAAUAAAAUUAAGUUUAAAUCUAAUUUAAUUAGUUUUUAUAUUAUUAUUUACACAUUAAACACGAAACGGCAUCAUUUUUGUAUUUUAUCGCCAGGUCAGCGUGCAAAACGACGUCAUUUUGCACUAAACUUGCUGGAAAAUUGCCACGCCAGUCAUUUGACCAGGUUUUCGCCGAAGUGGCACUUUAAGUGUUCCAUUUAACUUCGAAACUGGCACUCAAGUGUACUAUUUUAAAGUUAUGGCACUUAAAUAUCCUCCCGUGCCAAGUUAUGGCACUCCAAGUGUCCCAAACUCCAAAUUCUUACUUCCUACUUCAACACAAUACGAGUUGGAGUAAGGCUUGGGCACAUGAACCUAAUAAUGGAGCUACUCAUGCGCUUCCAAAUCGGGCAUUCAAUCAAAUAGGUGCUACCUUUUCUUUUUUACAAACUCCUAUCUAAGUUAAAAAUAUUAUAUUAGUAGUCUUCUUUAAUUUAUUAUUCUAAUGCAGGUAUCGCAUCCUGAAUGUAAUGAAAAGUUAUUUCUUGGGGGAGAAAAGGGACAUUGGCGGAGCGCUUUUCUAUUUUUUUUUUUUUUUUUUAUCAAAGUGGAUCCUAUUUAUUGUGCUUCUGAGUUGUUUAUUAUUAUUAUUCUGGAUAUUGUGCUUCUGUUUACAAAAGGCCAGUUUGCUAGUUUGACUUUUCAAUUGCCACUCUAGCUAAGUCAUGGAAUCGAAAUGACCGUACCGAAAACUUAGGUUACCUCACAUAGGCAAAUGUCCCUAUCAUGAACGUUCUUCUACAUCUUUUAAAUUUUUUCUACCUGUUAUUUUUCUUUUGUGGUAGUUAAAUUUUCUCCCUUUUAUUUGGGAAACAAUGCUUGCCUUCCAUGAUUUUCAAAGAAGAACACUAUAGCUUAAUUAAUCCAUGUUAAGUUGUUCAAUUAUGAUUAAUACAGUUAAUGGAAAAUUUUUAUUUCUUAUAAAUCAAAUUGGAUAAAAAAAAUACAGAGUCCCAGUGUAUUCUCAUCAAAAGCAAAAUGAUUCACUACCACUUCUUUUAUUUUCUGGAUUGCUAGAUUAUACCAUCAUUGUCCCAUUAAAUUGCAUUUCUUUUCAUCUGACGACAAUCUAUCUUAGUUUGCGAAUGUAUAAUGAAAUGCGCAUCCUUUUGCCCUCUAUCUCUGCUUUAUGCAACUCAUCUAGAAGUCAAGUGAAAAUUCACCUUCAUGAUUACAAAGGGAGCUAUUUUCUUGGGCAAAAUCCAUAAUUUAUUGGAUUGCUCAUUCCUCCUUCAAGUUCUAUUUUUACGCAUGGCCUUACACACAACCAUCAAACCCCUAUAAACAUAGAAAUCACACCAUAAAAACCUUUCCUCACCCAAAGGCUCCGAGGCAGAGCCACAAAGGGGAAACAAAAGAUUCACUACGAGCUUUCCACUCACUUUACUUUGUCUUAACUCCAAAAGGAUCUCGAGAAAAGCAUUUAGAUGCAAACAUCAAAGUUGGCCACGAGGUACUCCUCAAUAGAGGUGUUAAAAUGGGUCUAAAAUGGGUUAUAAAAGGGUCACUUGUUUUUGACAAAAAGUAGUUAAAUGGGUUUCACAAUUAAAGGUUCAAGAUAGGUGGGUCUUAAGUGGGUUUUAAAUAGGUUGGGUGGAGAACCCAUUUUCAACAAAAACCUUAUAAUCUCUCUCUUCCCUCUUUAACUUUAUAAAAAUAUAUAUUUUUUUUGUAAAAAUCGAAAUUAUAGUUUUUUUUUAAAUUUUCUCUUUUCUUUUUCUUUCCUUUUUUUUUCUUUUUUUUUUCUUUCUCCUUCUUCCUUUCGAUCGCCGGCACGGCGAUGGCCGGCGACCGGCCAGGUGAGCCUCGAGCUCGCCGAAUCUGGCGAGGCGGAGGCCUUGCCGAUGCCCUGCGAGGCUCAAGCCUCGCCGAUCUAGUGAGAUUCGAGCUCGACAGUGUUAGGCGAGGCUCGAGCCUCGAUAGUUCUGGUGAGGGGCGAGCUUGAGCUCACUCAACACCGGUGAGGCUCAAGGCUCACCGUCGCUGGGCGAGCUCGAGCUCGCCAGAUCCGGCGAGCCUCAAGGCUUGCCGAUGCCAGGCGAGCUCAAGCUUGCUAGAUCCGACGAGCCUCGAGGCUCGCCUGUGGCUGAUCGCCAGUUGUCGUUGUGGCCGGCAGCCGGCCAAAGAAGAAGAAGAAGGAGAAGAAAGAAGAAAAGAAAAAAAAAGUAUAUUUAAAAAAUAAAAUAAAAUUAAUUAUAAAAUUAAUUUUUAAAAAAUAAAAAAAUAAUUAAAAUUCAAAUUUUUAAAAUAAUUAUUUUAAAAAUUAUAAAAAUUUUCCUUUAAAUUUGUGUUGUAUAAAACUAUUUUCGUAAUAUAAUUUUAAAAAUUGUCCAUUGAGAAAUAAGUUUGGAAGUAUUUUAGUAAUAUAAUCUUUAAAAAAAACAUAGAAAUAAGUUUUUCUAAAUUUGGUUAAAUAUGAAAAUAUUUUAUUAAUAUGGGUUAGGUCGGGUAUGGGUUGGGUCGGAUAUGGGUUAGAAAUUUUACAUUAUGCAUAAAUGGGUCAUAAAUGAGUUAAUGGGUCAAUUUGGGUUGGACCAUUAAUGAUCCGACCCAAACCCGACCCAACUCACCCGUUUAACGGCUCUAACCAUGAUGGCUCGACCGAGAUUUGGAGGAGGAGUUGCUCGGCCAUGGCUCGGUCGAGAUUUAGAGAAGGUUUAGCGCUCAGCUUUUCUGAAGCUUAAUGAUGAUUGGAGGAGGGAGUCACCGAGAUCUAAAGGUUGGCCAGGUCUAUUGUGGCCAUGGCUUCAUGGUUCCAAAUCUAGAUGCGGCCAAGUGAUCUUGGAAGGGGCGGAGAUGGUGGUCGGACGGGUGUUCUCUGUCAGGGAGGAAGAUGAAGAGAGAAAAAAAGAUUUUUAUUUUUUUAAUUCCACCUCAUCCAACACGUGUCAAUCUAUUAUUAUUAUUAUUAUUAUUAUUAUUAUUAUUAUUAUUAUUAUUAUUAUUAUUAUUAUUAUUAUUAUUAUUAUUUGUCAGUUCUACUCUAUGCCUACUCUACACUCACUCUCAGACUUUUGUCCUGCCUUUUGCAGAGCAUGGGAGUCGAAACUCACUCCUGAAACUUACUCAUCCCCACCCUAUCCUCCUGAGAAUGUGAGAAUUUGAACCCCUCACCUCCCAUUUUUUUGUUGGAAUGGUGGCCACUGGAGCGAAUCCCAGUGGUUGUCGAUCUAUUAUUGGAUAUAAAUAAAAAACGCGCACCACAUCAGCAAUUGACUUGGCGCUUUGGAACCACCGAAUAUUUUCUCCAACUCAAGGCUAUGUUUUUCCUCAUCCUUUUUUUUCGGUUUAAGGAGUGGUUGGUCCCACCGAGCCCGGGCCCACAAAGCCCAAGUUGGAUCCAGCCACUGUCCAGUGUCCACUCCCAUCUCCAAAAAAGCUCCUCAUAAUUGCGAUUAGCUCACUCGAAAUGACUAUAUUACCCCUGCAUGAAGUUUGCACUGCUCUCACGAUAGGGCAGGACUUUUCAGUAAAUUCCCCCUCUAUCUAGUCAUCUCUCUCUCCAUUCCUUCCUUCUUCGAGCUUCGAGCCUCCACCAGUUCGGAGCUACAUUCCUUCCUUCGCCUCCGAGAAUCGAACCUCCAUCUCUUCGCUCGCCGGCAAGCCGCAUUCCGGACCUCAGGCUCGUCGCUCGAGUCCAUCUCCGGCGGUGGGCGCCGGUGCCAGUGACCGAUGGAGACGGGGACGAUGGCGACCGCGGCGGGGGCGGCGGUGCUCCUGUGCUAUGUCAUCAAGAGGACGCUGGCCUCGAAGGGCAAGGACGACGCCGGGGACCGGGCCGCCAGGUGUUAGGGAAAUCCCUUAUGAUGUUUUGAAGAUGACAAAAUAAAUCAAAGGCUACUAACAUAUUUGAUGGUUGAGUAAUAGACCAUGCAGAUGUUAGAACAUGUAGAGGAUAUUAUCAAAGUCAUAAGAUGACCAGAAGACUGAACGUAACAUGUCCAAAAUAUAUUCUGAAGAUUUCCAGACUUCUAUGUCAAAGUCUGAAGACUGCCAGACUCAAGACUCAAAGUCUGAAGACUGCCAGACUCAAGACUCAAAGUCUGAAGACUGCUAGACUUUAGUGUCAAAGUCUGUUCUACAUUAGAAGUCUGCUCACUCUGAUAAAUUCCAGACUGAACGUGAAAGCUGAACCAGAAGACAGACUCUAUGCUGAAGCUGAACUGGGUACAGACCCAGAUUGUAAAGUCUAGAGACUCAGAUUGUAAAGUCUAGAGACUCAUAUUGUAAAGUCUACAGACUCAGACUUUACAUCCAGAUUCGAUGAAUCGUAACUCAAGCCCAAUCAUACAACGGCUAGUGAUCUGGUUUGGAUUCCACAUCAAGAUUAAUUUGAUUGAUUCAAUCUAAUUGAUUGACGAUUGGAUCUUGAAGACAAGAACUUUCUACACGAAGAAGCUUUACUUAUGGAAACCAAGAUUUCGUUUGUAUGGGCGAUCGGAAUCAAUUUGGGAUUUUACCUUUGUCACUCAACGGCUACCAAAUCUUCUUAGAUACAGAGCUGUUCAAUGGGUAUAUUGGAAGACGAUUCUCCGGGAUACUGUCCAACGAGUAGUUUGGAAGUGGAGGAGUAUUUAAGGAGAUCAUGGACCGAUGAGCAAGUAAGAGACGGAGCGUAGAAUUUAUAAUUCCAAAGUCUGAGCGACUUUUGAUCAUAUACUUGUCUCUUGAGAGCUUAAACGUUUGUAAUCGUGAGAGAAAUACCAAGAGAGUGACUUAGUGAGAUAGUGUGAUCUACUAAGUGUUUGCACUCGAAGUUGUAAUCUCUUGUUGAUUGCAUAUUGGAAUCCAGCCAAGAAGGCUGUUAUCGUGGGAGAGUGGACGUAGGCUUGGAUUAAGCCGAACCACUAUAAAUCUCGUGUUCUUAUUCUCUUCCCUAACUCCUUUAUUUUGUUCAUACUAGCACUCUCAAUUGGUAUCAGAGCCAAGUGCUCGGUUUAUAAAAGUGUUUUUACUUUUGAGCUAAAGAUUCUUUAUGGCUAGUAUAUUGGCACCAGGUCUUAUGGAAGGGCAAAGCAACACAAGGCCACCAUAUUUCGAUGGAAGAAAAUACAAGCAGAAUGGCCAGAAAAGAACAAUGAAAGAAGAUGAUGUGCAAAGAAAUAUAUGCUUGACGGCACAUUCAGAAUUUGAGUCUGACUCGGACACAGACUCAGAAUCAGAGUCUAACUCAAGCACAGACUCAGAAUCCGAUGAGGAAAUAAUGGAAAAGAAGAAGUUGGUAAUGAAUGUUUUUGGGCACAUUAUUCUCAUUAUACUUGAUAUUCGAUAUAUCCUUGAUUGAUUCAGAUUUUAUAAUGAUCAUAUUUUGUUUUAUUGAAGAAAGAAUCGCAUGAUUUGUUUUUGUGAUUCGAAAUUUAAUUUGAUACGUGUGAUCAUUUUUGAUAUCAUGCUUAAAGACAAAAUAAUUUAUUUGGUUUAUUUUUAUUCUCUCUGUUUUUAUCAUAUUAUGACUAAGUGAGAAUUUAUUUUUCAAAAUAUUAUUGUGCAUAAUAUUCUUUCUUUGAAUACCUUGUUAUGAUGAAUUAAGAAAGAAUAUUUGAUUAUGGAGAUUUUAUAUUUUACUCUAACGUCAAGGAAGGAUCCAAAUUGAUGGAUACCAAAAAGGGAAAUGAGUUGAUUGCAGGAAAUUCUUUAAGGGAAGGAUGAUUGCGAAUCUACGCAAAUUUUGGUGCAAUCAGAAAAUAUCUCCUGCGACAAUUGUGAUCGUUGCGGAUGUUGUUGCUACAAAGGAAAUAAUGGAAAAAAUAUUCUGCUCAACGUGCACAAGCAACAAUUCUAUUCGCAAAUAUUGUCAUGAUCACAGGGGGAGAAAGCAAAUCCAAAAGAAAAGGAAAAGAAUCGUGAUCAUCUCAAAAAGGCAACAAAUUGAGGGGGAGCAUUGAUCAAUUAUGGAAAAAUCUUUUUUGAUUGAUCGUGAUCUUGUUAUGAAAAGAAAAAAGGUACGUGCAUUUUAUGAUGCAUCCGUGAUUUUUAUUGGAUAUUUGCUGAUAUGAUAGAAGUGAGCUAUAUUGCAUAUCUUCAAUAUUCGAUAAAAGCUGAUUUUUCGAAAUUGUGAUUCAUGCAAGAUAUUUGUUAUCAUUCUCUACGUGAAUCCAUUAUUAUCGCUUUUUGAUUAUGACAAAAAGGGGGAGAAGUUAUGAAUAUGCAUAUGUGCUGAUUGGUUAAUAUUAUAUUAUCUAUGGCAUAAUAUUGAGCUGCGAUUAUUUUCUAAAUAUUAUUAUGCUCAAUUUAUUUGCUAUCUUCUGAUAUCCUUUGAUUUAAAUUAAAAGCAUGUUUACAAAUCUGCAUAUUCAGAGAUUGUUUUGUCAUCAUCAAAAAGGGGGAGAUUGUUAGGGAAAUCCCUUAUGAUGUUUUGAAGAUGACAAAAUAAAUCAAAGGCUACUAACAUGUUUGAUGGUUGAGUAAUAGACCAUGCAUAUGUUAGAACAUGUAGAGGAUAUUAUCAAAGUCAGAAGACGACCAGAAGACUGAACGUAACAUGUUCAAAAUAUAUUCUGAAGAUUUCCAGACUUCUGUGUCAAAGUCUAAAGACUGCCAGACUCAAGACUCAAAGUCUGAAGACUGCUAGACUUUAGUGUCAAAGUCUGUUCUACAUUAGAAGUCUGCUCACUCUGAUAAAUUCCAGACUGAACGUGAAAGCUGAACCAGAAGACAGACUCUAUGCUGAAGCUGAACUGGGUACAGACCCAGAUUGUAAAGUCUAGAGACUCAGAUUGUAAAGUCUAGAGACUCAUAUUGUAAAGUCUACAGACUCAGACUUUACAUCCAGAUUCGAUGAAUCGUAACUCAAGCCCAAUCAUACAACGGCUAGUGAUCUGGUUUGGAUUCCACAUCAAGAUUGAUUUGAUUGAUUCAAUCUAAUUGAUUGACGAUUGGAUCUUGAAGACAAGAACUUUCUACACAAAGAAGCUUUACUUAUGGAAACCAAGAUUUCAUUUGUAUGGAUGAUCGGAAUCAAUUUGGGAUUUUACCUUUGUCACUCAACGGCUACCAAAUCUUCUUAGAUACAGAGCUGUCCAAUGGGUAUAUUGGAAGACGAUUCUCCGGGAUACUGUCCAACGGGUAGUUUCGAAGUGGAGGAGUAUUUAAGGAGAUCAUGGACCGAUGAGCAAGUAAGAGACGGAGCGUAGAAUUUAUAAUUCCAAAGUCUGAGCGACUUUUGAUCAUAUACUUGUCUCUUGAGAGCUUAAACGUUUGUAAUCGUGAGAGAAAUACCAAGAGAGUGACUUAGUGAGAUAGUGUGAUCUACUAAGUGUUUGCACUCGAAGUUGUAAUCUCUUGUUGAUUGCAUAUUGGAAUCCAGCCAAGAAGGCUGUUAUCGUGGGAGAGUGGACGUAGGCUUGGAUUAAGCCGAACCACUAUAAAUCUCGUGUUCUUAUUCUCUUCCCUAACUCCUUUAUUUUGUUCAUACUAGCACUCUCACCAGGGAUCCGUCGCGAUCGGUGUUAGGGAAAUCCCUUAUGAUGUUUUGAAGAUGACAAAAUAAAUCAAAGGCUACUAACAUGUUUGAUGGUUGAGUAAUAGACCAUGCAGAUGUUAGAACAUGUAGAGGAUAUUAUCAAAGUCAGAAGACGACCAGAAGACUGAACGUAACACAUGUCCAAAAUAUAUUCUGAAGAUUUCCAGACUUCUGUGUCAAAGUCUGAAGACUGCCAGACUCAAGACUCAAACUCUGAAGACUGCCAGACUCAAGACUCAAAGUCUGAAGACUGCCAGACUUUAGUGUCAAAGUCUGUUCUACAUCAGAAGUCUGCUCACUCUGACAAAUUCCAGACUGAACGUGAAAGCUGAACCAGAAGACAGACUUUAUGCUGAAGCUGAACUGGGUACAGACCUUAAAGCUAAAUCUGUUCAGAAGCAGAUAUGUUCAGACCCAGAUUGUAAAGUCUAGAGACUCAGAUUGUAAAGUCUAGAGACUCAUAUUGUAAAGUCUACAGACUCAGACUUUACAUCCAGAUUCAAUGAAUCGUAACUCAAGCCCAAUCAUACAACGGCUAGUGAUCUGGUUUGGAUUCCACAUCAAGAUUAAUUUGAUUGAUUCAAUCUAAUUGAUUGACGAUUGGAUCUUGAAGACAAGAACUUUCUACACGAAGAAGCUUUACUUAUGGAAACCAAGAUUUCGUUUGUAUGGGCGAUCGGAAUCAAUUUGGGAUUUUACCUUUGUCACUCAACGGCUACCAAAUCUUCUAGAUACAGAGCUGUCCAAUGGGUAUAUUGGAAGACGAUUCUCCGGGAUGCUGUCCAACGGGUAGUUUGGAAGUGGAGGAGUAUUUAAGGAGAUCAUGGACCGAUUAGCAAGUAAGAGACGGAGCGUAGAAUUUAUAAUUCCAAAGUCUGAGCGACUUUAGAUCAUAUACUUGUCUCUUGAGAGCUUAAACGUUUGUAAUCGUGAGAGAAAUACCAAAAGAGUGACUUAGUGAGAUAGUGUGAUCUACUACUAAGUGUUUGCACUCGAAGUUGUAAUCUCUUGUUGAUUGCAUAGUGGAAUCCAGCCAAGAAGGCUGUUAGCGUGGGAGAGUGGACGUAGGCUUGGAUUAAGCCGAACCACUAUAAAUCUCGUGUUCUUAUUCUCUUCCCUAACUCCUUUAUUUUGUUCAUACUAGCACUCUCAAUCGGGCCGGCCAUCGAAGAGGCGGAUCCCCCGGCGGCAGCUGGCCCAGGCGCCGGCGACGCUGUUCGAGGCGAUCGCGACACUGGCGGAGACGCUCCGGUUCACGUACUCGGAGACCCUGGGGAAGUGGCCGAUCGGGGAUUGGCGUUCGGGAUCAAGUAUCUGAUGAGAAGGCAUGUAAAUGGGGCUUCGUCUCCCGGGGUAUUGGCUGGGUAUCGAUUGUUUUAGGCAUGUUCCCGUUAUGGAAUUCGGCGUAACUCGGUCGCUUGGUCUUGGAUUAGUGUGGUUCAGCUAUAGAAUGAUGUCUUGUAUAGUGUGGCAAGACGAGCCUUUUAAUCAGUGUCUUGGCUACUGACAGUUAUCCGUCACGGAUUGGGAAUGUGACCGCGCGGCGACAAGGCACUUUUGGACUGUAGAGAAAUAAAGCUUAUAGAGAGAGAGGCUUGGAGAGAAAGUAACUUGUAUUACUGAACUGAAUUAUUUUUCAUCUUUUGGGUCCAUAAAAAAGUGAUGAGGUAUUUUGCGGCAAGCGGUGAUCUUAACAAAUUCUAAACUGAAUUAUGUCAGUGGUAUUCUAAAUUAUGCAACUUAAAUUGUGCGGCUUAUUAAGAAAAUUAAAUUCCGUCAGCCUUCAUUUUGCUCCACUUAUAGAUGAUAAGACGACAGGGAGGAUAUUUUUUUUUCCCGAUGAUUUUGCGAGACACGGGAAAUUGUGGUUGGAUUCGCAGCUCAGAAUCAUUAUAGGGAAGAUUGAGACGUGCAAUCUACCACUGUGGGGAUCGUCAUAUCUCUCCAAAAAUUAAACUCCAGAAAUCUAUAAUGGAAAAUGAAACUAUUAAUUACGUUUGAUUAGUAAAUUAGUAAAUUACAGGUGAUGAUUAAAUAUACAAUUAAGUGGAUAUCUAGUUAAUUACAAAUUGUAGUGCAGUAACAACAAAUGCGUGUUGGACACCGAAUUAAGAAGUCUUCCAAUUUCAUGAUCAUGGCUGUCAAGUGUAUUUCUUUAGAAAUUAUAGUGCUAUGUCAUUACAGCUUAACCAUUAAUACACUUGGAUAUGAUGUGUAAUUUGGUGGGUUGCUAAAUUAAUCAAAAAUCAUGUAAGAAUCUCCCAAAAUUCAACUGUGAGAAACUCCCAAUAUUAUUUCAUUCAACUGUAAGAAUCUUACAAGAGUCUCUUAAAUGAUCGAAUCUCAUCUAUAAGAUUAGUGUAUUGAUGCAAAAUGACUAGGGUUCUUUUUUUGCAUAAUAACUCAAGGGCGAUGUGGAGGAAGGAAUGCACGAACGUAUAAACUGACGUUUUGUUACCAGGGUCAAAUUCCACCGUAACCAGCAGAUUUGAUUUUGGAACUGAUUUUCAUUAAAAAAGAAAAAAGAAAUGCAUGAUGAACUUGCUGGCGAAAUAUAGGAGUUAACACGGGAUGAUUUGUUGAUUUGAAUGAUCAAAAAAUCAAUAUAGGAAACAUGAAAAUGAAAGCGUGAUGAGUCAAUUAUGAGAACUCUUCAAUCUGAUAUUAAAACAUCAACGAUUCCAAUGGAAAUUUAUUAAUCACACCCAGAAUUACCAUUCGCACUCAAAAUUACAAUAGAGCACGCUUGCAUACCCCUUUUCGUGACAGAUGAGGGAAAAGACAGCAAAAUGACCCAUGACAGAAAUGGCACAAGAAGUUGCAUUUUAAACAUAGACAUUAGGGUUACCCAAUACGUACUCUUCAACGACUUUGUAGAGUCCCAUAGCCUUUUCUUUGCCUUGCUUGAUAUCAUCUUCGUUAAGCUCCACAUCCCCUCUUGUGUGGUACUCACCAAUCAUCUUGCAAAGGCAUCUACCAACGCUCGAAGCCAAGAAUUGAACCUCAUACACAAUCGAUUCGAUCUUGUCAAAUAUCACGUCACCUUCAAUCAAAGUGUACUUACAGACCAAGUUCUCAGUGUAGAGAGCAUCGAUUUUGCGCUUCGAGAACUUUAAGUGACCACCUAUAAUAUUUAAGGUAUAUUAACUAGCAUUCUAUAGAAGGUAUAUAUAUAUAUAAAGAGACAUCCAUAUAAUUGUGAAACAAAUGGGACUCUUUGAGCAUCAUUAUAAACUAACCUUUAGCGAAGUUGGUGACUUUAAUACUUCCCGCUCUUCCAUCUCCUUCAACAAACUCGAUGCUCUUAAUACCCAAAGGGGCAAUCUUGGGAAUCAGGUAGUGAGAAUCAACAAUCAAAGCCCUGAACAACAUUCUAGAUGGAGUAAUGGGAGUGGUGAAUUCUUGGGUAAAGGUGGUGACACUCAUGAUUUUGUCUUGGGAGAGGAAAGGAAUCGAACCAGAAAUUUGUGGAGAAUAAGAAGGAAUAUACGUAAGCGCUUUUUAAUAGCGGAGGAACUUGAAUUUGAUGCAGAAGAAGGAAGGACCGAGGAGCUAUUUAUACUCGUAGCUUUUAGACCUUCUUGAAAUGGAAGCAUAGAUACCUCCGCGGUGGACCUACCGGUCAAAGGACUCAACUCAAUCCAACUCUUUCUCCAAUUGUUGACGUGGCGCACGUUUUUUAUUUAUAUCCAAUAAUAGAUCGACAUGUGUUGGAUGAGGUGGAAUAAAAAAUAAAAAUCUUUUUUUUUUUUUUCAACUUCCUGCACCACCCACUCUUCUCCUCUCCUCUGCAAAUCGUUUCUCGGCCAUGGAUGACACGGCCUCCUCCUCCUUCCGGCCACUGCCUGCCCAGCCACUUGAGAAACCGGUGCGGCUGUCUCCACCGCACAAGCCAGAGGAUCUAGAUCUGGAACCGCGGAACCAUGGCCGCGUUCUUGACAGAACUUGAAGCCAUGGCCACACAACAGACCUUGGAGCCAGAUCUGUCGUAGUUAUGGCGUCACAGACUAGGCCGGCCCUCGCCAGAUCUGGGCGAGGGAUGGCCUCGUCAAGACUUGUUCCAUCAUUUUUGAAGGCUCAACCAUGAUUAGAGGUGUUAAAAUGGGUCAUAAACCCAUAUAUAACCCAUUUAAAUCAUAAAUGGGUCACUUGUUUUUGACAAAAAGUAGUUAAAUGGGUUUCACAGUUAAAGGUUCAAGAUAGGUGGGUCUUAAGUAGAUUUUAAAUGGGUUGGAUGGAGAACCCAUUUUCAACAAAAACCUUAUAAUCUCUCUCUACCCUCUUUAACUUUAUAAAAAUAUUUUUUUUUGUAAAAAUCGAAAUUAUAAUUUUUUUAUUUUAAUUUUCUCUUUUUUUUUUCUUUCUCCUUCCUCCUUCCGGUCGUCGGCACGGCGAUGGCCGGCGACCGGCCAGGCGAGCCUCGAGCUCGCCGGCAUUCGGCGAGCUUGAGCUCGCCAUAUUUGGCUAGGGGGAUGCCUCACCGACACCCGGCGAGGCUCGAGCCUCGCCAGUUCCGGCGAGAGGCAAGCUCGAGCUCCCCCGACACCGGUGAGCCUCGAGCUCGCCGGAUCUGGCAAGGCAAAGUUUAUAUUCUUUACUUUUGAAUCCGAACACGAUGCCACCAUCCACCUCGAAAUCUCAUUCAUCCCUCCCUUUCGUUCGGCCGGCAGAGAUGAAAAAUUGAACGCAACUCAAACAUAGGCCUUUAAAAAAAGAGAGAGAAAAAUUCACAUGUUUUCUUCGCGCAGAUGAAAACAAAAGAGGGCAAAUCGGCUGCUCUAAGCAACAAAAGUCUCGUGACUCUUUUCAUAGCAUUACAAUGUUACAGCGCUAGCGCGAAAAGAGCCUUGGCUUGCUAAAUCCUGGACCAGCCCCAUCUUUCAGCCACAAGUUCUUUGUACAUCUUCCUUGAUUGGCCACUCUCAUCUCAUCUCAUCUCUCUCUCUCUCUCUCUCUCUCUCUCUCUCUCUCUCUCUCUCUCUCUCUCUCUCUCUCUCUCUCUCNNNNNNNNNNNNNNNNNNNNNNNNNNNNNNNNNNNNNNNNNNNNNNNNNNNNNNNNNNNNNNNNNNNNNNNNNNNNNNNNNNNNNNNNNNNNNNNNNNNNUUCGUGGCACGCAUUCUCAGCCAAAAGCAAGAGGGGGGACAUUUCACGUAAUGGUAAAGGAAAUUUAAUGAUCCUUUAUUUUCUUCUUGUGGAAUAACUUAAUUUUAAAAAGUCAUUUUAUCAAAAAUGAAACUUUUUUUCUUCUUUAAUAAAAAGUGGAUAUUGUGGAUUAGUAAGAAAAUGAGAAAAUUGAUUGCGGAUUCUCAAUCUUUUUUUUUUUCACGGAUUCUCAAUCUUUGAGAUCAAUAUAUCUAAUAAAUUUGCUCUUCUUUUAUAACUAAUCUCUGUAUGAGAGCUGACUACCGAUCUAGUGAGCCCGACUACGAAGUUCUGACUCCACUAGAAUCAAAGCAUGAAAUGGACGAGUUUAGAUAAGUUAAUCCCUUUUUGGUUCGAUUUGAUUAGACAAGGUCCUUUUCGAAAAGAAAAAGUUAAUUUUUUUUAAUUUAAAACUGAUGUAGACAUGAAUUUUACGCUUGAUAUCAGAUAUAUUGUCCUUCCAUUCUCGAAAGGCAAUUUUGCUAGUUUGACUUUUCAAAGGUCAUUAUAGCCACAUCAUCGAAUCCAAAUGACUGUCGGAUUGUAAUAGUGUUGGCAUCACGGUCUCACGGUGUGAGAGUCAAAGAAUGUCCACACAAACUUCCUUUCUCAAACACAAGCACAUGGAAGUUUCCAAGCAAGAUACAAUUCUCCCUCUCUCUCAUCCGCAAUGUGUGGUGACAGUCAAAGGAUGUCCAUAAAAAUUUCCUUUCUUAAUUACAAGCACAUGGAAGUUUCCAAGACACGGUUCUCCCUCUUUCUAGUCCACAAAGACAAGUCUCUCUAGUGCUACAUUCUUUUUCUUUGAGAAAUCUCAAAUAGAGACCCAAAGUACCCUCAUUUCUCAAAGAUACAUAAAGUGAAGUCUAUCUCAAAUAAGGACCCAAGUGGUCAUUUAGUCUCAAAGAAGGGCCUUACUCGCCAGUCGGUGAAUAGAUGCAUCUCUGAUGCAUAUUCCAAUAGCCUAAUUAGGGUAUUUUGGUCUUCUUCUUUCUUUUCUUUUUCUUUUUUGAUUGUCCUAUUCAUCGUCUUCUUCAUCCCUAUUCAUCUUCUUCUUGCCCAGAUCAAGAACACUGGACUUGGAGAAAGGCCGGCGAGCACUAGCUAUUGGUAAGGGCCUAUGAGGACUCGACGCCCAUUGCUAGGGCUAAGCGAGCCCCCACUAUUGGCAAUGGGGGUCGAGCCCUCGUUGGCCCUUCCCAAGUCUAAUGUUCUUGAUCUAGGCAAGAAGAAGCCGAACAGGGGACAAAGAAGAUGAUGAAUAGCACAAUCAUUAACCAAAAAAAUAAAUAAAUAAACAGGACAACCGAAAAUGAAAAAAGAAUUUUUUUUGGACAAAAAUACCCAUGAUCGGGCCACCGGAAUAUGUAUCGGAGAUGCAUCUGUUCACUGGUCGGUGAGUGAGGUCCUUAUUUGAGACUAAAUGAUCAUUUUUUGUCUUUAUUUGAGACAGACUCCACUUCAGGUCGUCUUUUGAAAAAAUGUAGGCACUCUGGGUCCCUAUUUGGGAUUUUUCCCUUUUUCUUUUGUAACAUUCUGCUAAGUUCUUUUCUACUUUUUAUUUUGUCUUAGAUGGAGACUUCUUGACAAAACAAAGAUUAUCAUUAGAUAACUGCCGGCAAAAGAACGCUUCAAGUGCCAUAACUUUGGCCAAAGGGACACUUAAGUGCCAUAACUUACGAAAGGUACACUUAAGUGCCAAAUUCGAAAAAAAACGGAUCACUUGAGUGCCACUCCGGCCAAAGUCCGACCAAAACGCCAAUGUGGCGUAUUUCCGGUGAAGCGCGCCCAAAACGACGCCGUUUUGCACGCUGACGUGGCCAAAACGGCGUUGUUUUGGGCCGACGUGGCAAAAAGAAAAUUAAAUAAAUUAAUUUUAAAAUUAAAUUUAGUUAAAAUAUUUAAAAAUAAUAAUUUUAAAAUUAAAUUUAUUUAAAAUAUUUUAAAAAACUUUAAAAACCUUUAAAAAUAUUUUUAAAAAAUUAAAAAAAAUUUAAAAAAAAAANNNNNNNNNNNNNNNNNNNNNNNNNNNNNNNNNNNNNNNNNNNNNNNNNNNNNNNNNNNNNNNNNNNNNNNNNNNNNNNNNNNNNNNNNNNNNNNNNNNNUAUCAAAAAAUACAGUAAAAUAAGAAUUCAAAAAAUUAGGAAAAAAAUUUAAAACUUGGAUUUUGAGUAGUUUUACUAGAGUUAAUGUUAGAGGGGUUUAGAAUUAGUUUAGCAUAAAAAUGUGAAAAUAUUGUGAUGAAAAUUGAAUUCAAAAUUGAAUAAGCUUUUAAGCCAAAUCCCUCCCCAUCCCCCACCCCGUUUGGAAGGAUGUUUUCACGGGUAAAAAAAGCGAGGUGCAUCCAAGCCACUCAAUGCUUUCAAAGCCACCAAUGAUAGAAAAAUCCAAGGCGUGAUGACGGUUCCACGACGGAUUAACUAAAUUUAAUUUUAAAUUAAAUUAAAUUAUUUAUUUAUUUAUUUUGUUCCACGUCAGUCGAAACGACGCCGUUUUGGCCAUGUCAACGUGCAAAACGGCGCCGUUUUGGCCGCGCUUCGCCGGAAAAACGCCACGUUGGCAUUUUGGCCGGAUUUUGGCCGAAUUGGCACUCAAGUGAUCUCUUUUACUCCGAUUUUGGCACUUAAGUGUACCUUUCGUAAGUUAUGGCACUUAAGUGUCCCUUUGGGCAAAGUUAAGGCACUUGAGAGGUCCGCACGUCGAUAACUGCCUGGCAGGCUACUACCUUACUUUGGCCAGUCAAAUUUUCUCCAAUUUCUAUUAUUUUUGUUUGAACAAAUUUAUCCAUAUUAUUUGGCAAGAUGGUUCUAAUAAAGAAAUGUGUAUUGAAAAGCCCAAAUUUUCCCUACACUUCAUCUGUCUCACUUUUUCUUUUGAUGAGAAAAUGCAAUUGAAUCAAAAAACCUAUUAAAAGACAAUCAAAUAUUAAAAUUUAUCAAAUUGGUACAAUUAGGUCUCUCCGUUAAUUCUAUCUAAUUUUAUAAAGGGAAUAUGUCCAUGACUUUUUUUUAGAAUUUAAUUUCUCAAAAUACACGGAGCCAACGUGGUUUUUAACCCUUCCUUUUGAUUUACUAGUAUAAUAGUUUUGGUCUACUAUAAUAAUAACACCUUAUUAUGAGCCACAAAUUCUUAAAAAAGUGAACCCCACAAUAAUUUAUGAUUAUUUGUUAAUUAUUUUUUGUGGUAUAAAACAUUCUGUUAUUCCCACGCUAGUUUAGUGAUGACCCAAUCAUUUUUUUUUUCCUUCUCUCCAUUUACAUGCCUACUCUUGUUACUGCUCAUCUUCUUCUCAACGCGAGUUCAACCACGACCGUGAUUAUCAACGGUGUUUGCCCACCAAUCAAGCCUCCAAAGGAACGUCACCACCUUCAUCAAUCCCACCCUGACAGUCGACAGCCGCCGGCAUCGCUUCCAACAAGUCCGAAUGAGAUCCCCUGGUUUGGACUCACCAUUUUUGGAGCUCCAAGCAGCCAUUUUUCUUGGCUACGACACUUGUCGAGCUGUUUCUAGAGCGUCGUAUGCUCAUUCCGUGCCCCAUCCGAUGCAUACUAAGACCUGAGAGCCCCUAUUUUCGCGCUUUUGCGAGCUUCGCGUCCCUGGCCGGCAACCUAUGCCACGGCAGUGCUUCGGCCCUGUGUUAACACCCUUGACAACCCAAGCACAUUUAUGCCUUUCCGAAAUCGACCGGGACCAACCCCUUCCGUGGCUCUGCUCUGUUUCAACACUCACCGUCUUUGAGAGCAGGAAGUCGCCUUUCUCGCUUCACGGAAGUGCUCGUGCCAAGCGCUUCGCUAGUUUGCACGUUAGACAGUUCAAGUAAGCCACUUCAGACCCCAAAAAAAAAAGUAAGCCACUGAUUCAGUUUAUUUCACCCUUUUGGUGACCGAGAAGUCCUGGCUAAGCUAGAGCACGAGAGCCAAGGUGCUGCCGCCCAAAGAAGCAUUGGCAGAUUUUCCUUCUCUGUUUCUUUGGUCAUUGGAUUCUGCUCUCGGUGGAUUCAAAACCUUUUUUCUGGGCAAUUUUCUUUAUUGUUCUCUUCUGUUUGCGAGAUCCAAAGAUUGUAAACUGUCAUAGGUGGGUGGAUUUUCAAGAAGGAAUUGAGGAACUUGGAUCCCUCUCUCUCAUGCUGGAUGAGUUCUCAGGUUUCCUGCUGAAACAUGUCUCUGUUUUUUUUUUUUUGUAUAGUGUGACGCUGGGGCUUAUUAUUUCUUUCCCAAUUAACCCAAAACAGCUCGUUGAAUUUUGUAGUGUCUACUCUAGCUAGAUUUCCUGAUCAUUUGUCACUAUGGAUUGAUACGAGAAUGUUCCCUUUAUACUGUUCGCUAUUGUUGACGUGAUUCUUCUUGUUAUCCCAUCUCCACAAAGAGAUUGAAAUUUUCACUUACAUGCUCCAGGUGAAUCCUUUGAUUGAUUGUAGAUUCUACCAUGAGAUUAAUUGUAUUUGGAACAUAGAGCGUUGAAUCUUUUUCUCUCUUUCGGGUGUUCCUCAAUCAAAUACUCAAAAUCAAUUCAUUUAGGAACAUAUCCUAAAAAUCCACAAUUAAAUCAAUUCGGUACAAACCAAAGCUCAAAUAAAUAAACAGACCAUGCCACGACAAUCAGCAUGAAAUUCCGGUCACCGGUCAUCCCGGUUGAAUUUUUGAAAAAUAAAUAAAUAAAUAAUUAAUUAUUAAAUACUAAGAAAUCCAAUUUAGGCCCGUAUUGCCUAAUUGGAAGCUGGAACAGACUGGGAAAAAUCUCGAGGUUCCUUCAAUAAAUAAUAGAACAUUUCUACUUGCUAAUGACUAUGUCUAACCACCUAACAUGCAUUGGUAAGUCACAAAUUUAAUUAAUCUAAACUAAUCUAACCUCAUAAUCAUGUUUAAUUAACAUUAAUCAAUCAUUAAUCAUCAUUAGCAAACUAAGCGAGGUUUAGUGAGUUAAGCUCACCCGUUUAACAAUUCGUUCAGAUCAAAACGUCAGGAAUGUCGCGGGGGAUGUUUUUCUCCAAAGAGGGCCUAAGGUACGGGGCUCGGAAACACCUCAGAACAGUCUCCAAAUGCUAUUAGAAACCCACUUCUAAACCUUCUAUUUUAGCUGCAAAAAUAGAAGAAAACCAACUGAAAUGACAAGGCAAGGCUCUGGAAAGGCAACGGGGACGGUCUUAGGUCCAAACCGAGACAAACCGACGGUGGAGGAGGCUCCGGCAGUGGUUGGCAUGGCUGGACGACAAGCUAGCCGGUUGAAACAACAAGCUGGGUGGCGUGAGGGGGCGAGAAUGGGCGGAUGGCGUGCAGCUGGUGGCGCGCGCAGGCGGUGGUGUCCAAGCGUGUAGCGGGUGGCUCUCCAGCGUGCGGUGGCUACAUCUCCAUCUUGCUGCCGGUGGUUCGAAAAUGAGGAGGGAGAGAAUUUUGGCCGGUCGAGAGAGAGAGAGAGAGAGAGAGAGAGAGAGAGAGAGAGAGAGAGAGAGAGAGAGAGGGAGAUGAUAGAAAGAGAUAAGGGUGGAGGGGCCCUAUGCCUUCAUUUUCCAUAAAAAUAUCUCUUAAAACUUAUCAUAGGCCAAGUAUAAUCCCUUGGCUGUCCGUAGGCCACCAAUGCCUCCUUCUUGGACAUGUGAGAUGGUCCAAAAUGCCAGGGGGAAGGGGGCACACGAAUUUGACACAUUUUGGCUUAAAUUGGACAUCAAUUCUCUCUUGACUCACUCUUAAUUGGCUCUCAUAAAGUCAAUCCACCUACCAUCCGUCAUCUUAGCAUUUUUCCUCACCCAUGAGUCCAUCUCACAUUCCAAUUUUGCAAUAAAAAACAAUCACCGGCUUUUUCUGCACAAAAAUGAUCUUGCGACGACUUUUUCCCAAAAAGUGUUAGGUUGCAGAAAAAUCUUCUGAGACUGAGUCAACAUUCCUAGAAUUUAUUAUGAUAUGAUAGAAACUUUAAUUUCUGAAAUCGAACUUGAAUUCGUGGUUAAUUUCCAUUUGGCGCGUUUUUAGUGUGACCUAGGCCAUCGGAUAACUUUCAAAAAAAUUUAAGUGCAAAUAACUCGUGGUCAAUUUUCUUCGAGCCACAUUGAACCCACUCGACUCAUUGGUAACUCUCGGUUGUCGUGAACAUCUUGAUGAUUCAAAUACGGAUACAGGGUAUCAAAACAAUAAGAAAAUCAGUCUAGUACCAAUCGACGAGAAUAUUCCAAUUUAAUGGUAUCACCCACGAUUAGCCACACAUCUUUAUCAAACCGGUCUAUCUCUAAUUUUAAAUCGAUUUUUAACUAUACCGUAAUGGCUUCUAAAGAUGGACAUGGUUGAGAAGCCGAUUCUUGGUCAAAUUCUCAAAUCUAUUGCUUUAAAAUUUCUUAAUGAUUUCCCCAAAUAGUCUAGUUAUCUCAAGAGUGAUCAGCUAUUCUAGGCACAUCAAUGAAAUGUUCGAUUUAUUCAGUAGAAAGCAGGAUUGAAAAUUUGAGAUGUCACAACUCUUCCCCUCUUAUAAAAAUUUCGUCCUUGAAAUUUAAACAAUUACAAUAUUUAAGCAAAAAGGUGGGGGUACAAUUCUCUCAUUGACCCUUCAGUCUCCCAUGUCGCUCCUUCAGUACCGUAGUGUUGCUAGACCACUUUGACCAACGGAAUGGUCUUUGUACGCAGCACUUGUUUCUUUCCAUCCACAAUCUGGACCAGGCUUUCUACAUAUGACACUUGGUCAUGCACGUCCAAUUCCUCAAAAUUGAGCACGUGAGUCAAGUCAAGCUCAUACUUCCUUAACAUCGACAUGUGAAAGAUAUCAUGCACUUGCGCCAAUCUCGGCGGCAACGCAAGACGAUACACUAGGUUCCUAAUUCUCUCGAGAAUUUCAAAUGGACCUACGUACCUCAGACUCAGUUUGCCUUUCUUUCCAAAGUGCGAAGUUCCCCUCAUUGGUGACACCUUUAGAAAAAAAAUAAUCACCAACUUGGAAUUCUAAUUAUCUCCGGCACUUAUCUGCGUAACUUUUCUGUCUGCUCUGUGCGGUCUUUAAUCUGCCUCUGAUUAAUGCCACGGCAUCCACUGACCACUGGACCAACUCUAGGCCCGUAAUCUUCCUUUUCCCAACUUUAUCCCAACACACUAGUGUUCUGCACACUCUACCAUACAACGCUUCAAAUGGAGCCAUAUGAAUGCUUUGUUGAUAACUAUUAUUGUAUGCAAAUUCCACCAGGUGAAGCUGAUCUUCCCAAUUUCCUUAGAAGUCUAGUACACAAGCUCUCAGCAUGUCUUCAAGGUCUGAAUUAUCCUCUCAGACUGGCCAUCCGUCUGAGGAUGAUAUGCUGUACUGUACUGAAACUUUAAACCUAUAGAGCACUUUACAAGCUUUUCCAAAAAGCAGCUGUAAAUCUUGGGUUUCUAUCUGAGGUUAUCGUAACUGGCAUUACAUGCAUUCAAACCACCUAACGCAUGUAUAGGUCUGCGUGCCUAUCUAGAUUGAGGUCUUUUCGAACUACAAUGAAGUGAGUCGACUUUGUCAAUCUAUUGACUACCACCCAAAUUAAAUCAUUUCCUCUUUGACUCCUUGAUAGUCCAAUCUCGAAAUCUAUUGUGAUAUGUUCCCAUUUCCAUUCUAGGAUCGCGAGAGGUUGUAGAAGUCCUCCCGGGUUGCAAUGUUGAGCUUUAACAAGCUGACAUGUCAAACACUUGGCGACAUGCUUAGCGAUAUCCACCUUCAUACCCGACCACCAAUUGUAUUGAUGUAGAUUCUGAUACAUCUUAGUGCUUCUAGGAUGAAUACCGUAGCUGCUACGAUGUGCUUCAAAUAAAAUAUAUUUUCGAAGCUCCACAUCAUCAGGCACAACCAAACAUCCUCGGAACCUUAGUGUUUCGUCACUAGAGAUCUGAAAAUCAACAUUUCUUUUCUCAAUGUCCUCCUGAAGAAUUUUCUAUACAUUUGGAUCUGUCGAUUGGAGUAAUUUGAUCCUGACUUGGACAUUCGGUUUAAUUCUGAGGAUAGCCAUAAGACUUGAAAGGUGGCCUACCUCAAACUUGAAGACCGAAUCUCGAGUUCUUUCGAUUAAGUUCCACUCCUUAAUCAGUAUAUGUGCUACUAAAGACUUUUGACUCAAAGUAUCGACGACCUUGUUCGCCUUUCCUAGGUGAUAUAGAAAAUCACAAUCGUAGUCUUUUAGCAAUUCCAUCCAUCUGCAUUGUCUCAUAUUCAACUCCUUCUGAGAGAAUAGGUACUUGAAACUUUGAUGGUUCGUGAAGAUCUGGAAUUUUUCCCCACACAGAUAGUGUCUCCAAAUCUUCAGAGCAAAUAUAAUUGUCGCAAGCUCUAAGUCAUGUAUUGGGUAAUUCUGCUUGUGGGUCCUCAACUGAUGGGAGGUGUAUGCAACAACUCUACCAUGUUGCAUUAACACGCAACCCAACCCUCUGAAUGACGCAUCACUGUAGAUCUUGAAUCCUCCAAGACCAAAUGGAAUUGUCAAUACAGGUGUGGUAGUCAGCUUUUCUUUCAGCUCUUGGAAACUACUCUCACUUGUCUGUCCAUAUGACCUUCUCGUCUUUCUUCAGGAGUUUUGUUAGUAGCGAUGCUAACGAUGAAAAUUCUUCCACAAACCGUCUAUAAUAACCUGCCGAACCCAUAAAACUUCUUAUCUCUGUCACUGUAGUUGGUCUUGGCCAAUUGAUCAUGGCUUCUAUCUUGCUCAAGUCUACUAAAAUUCCUUCACCUAAGAUCACAUGUCCUAAUAAAGUAACAUGAGUCAACCAAAACUCGCACUUGCUAAACUUAGCGUACAUCUGAUGGACUCUUAGCUUUUGCAUCACUAAUCUCAAAUGAUUCUCGUGCCCUUCGUCACUUCGCGAGUAUACCGGGAUAUCAUCGAUGAACACGAUCACAAAUUGAUUUAGGUAUUCCUUGAAUACUUUGUUCAUCAAAUCCAUGAAGGCAGCUAGAGCAUUUGUCAACCCGAAUGGCAUCACUGUGAACUCAUACUGACCAUAUUGAGUACGAAACGCUGACUUAGGAAUAUCAUCAUUCCUAAUUCUUAGCUGAUGGUAUCAUGUCCUUAAGUCAAUCUUCGAGAAUAUUAAUGCUCCUUGCAACUGAUCGAACAGGUCAUUGAUCCUUGGGAGGGGAUACUUGUUCUUAAUGGUUACUUGGUUGAGUUGUCGAUAAUCAAUACAUAAGUGUAACGAACCAUCUUUCUUCUUAACAAAUAGAAAUGGUGCUCCCCAAGGUGAUACACUAGGAUGAAUGAAUCAUUUAUCCAAUAAUUCAUGCAUCUGUACCUUCAGUUCAUUCAACUCAGAUAACGUCAUCCGAUAAGAGGCUUUAGAGAUUGGCUCUAUUCCGAGUGCUAGCUCAAUUACAAACUCAAUCUCUCUCUCAUGUGGCAAUCCUGGCAAUUCCUUAGGGAAAACAUCUGGAUAAUCUUGCACGACUAAAAUGUCUUCCAUUUUCAGUUUUUCAGCUCUUGUAUCCACGACAGUUGCCAGAUACCCUUGGCAACCCUCGUCUAAUAGACGAGUUACCUCUAGCGACGAGAUCAAGACAAUCGAGGGUCCUCCUCGACUUCCUACAAACUCGAAACUCACCCCCUAACGGUUCAAACUGAAUCGCUUUGCAAUAGCAGUCCAUUUUAGCUCUUUACUUGGUGAGCCAGUUCAUGCCAAUUAUUAAAUCGAAAUCAUACAUGGCUAGGACUAAUAAAUAUAUUUUCCCCACUCGUUCACCAAUCACUAACUUGCACCCCAAACAACCCAAAGCAACAAUGACUUUAUCUUUCAAGGGUGUAGAUAUGCAAAUUUCUGACUCCAAUAAUAUAUGACUGACUCUUAUCAACUUAACAUAUUGCUUAGCAAUGAAGGAGUGAGUUGCUCAUGGAUCAAAUGAAACAUAAGUAAGAUGGUCAUUGAGCGAAACCAUACCUGUUAUCAUGUCAGGCACAAAUUUUGCCUAACCCUGUGUAAUAGCAUAUAUGGUGCCCUAAACUGGAAGUCUUAGCUAUCCUCCCUAUGGCGCAUUCGAAGGGGUAUACCCUCUUAUCCGUCCCAUUGGCAGCAGCAGCGGUAGCUGCAAUUGUCCCUUUAGCUUCCUGGGAUAAUUUCUGGCUAUGUGGCCCUAUUGGCCACAUUCGAAACACGCACCCGACCUAGAUGGGCACGGCGUUGACCCAUGUCGCCUUCCACAGAAGCGACACAUUUCAGUCCUAUUACGCUUUGACCUACCAAAUCCACCAUUCUUGUUAGGCAGGACUGGGAAUUUGCCUCCAGGAACAGGCCUCUUUCCUAGGCGAAUGCUGUCUCUAUGAGAGCUUAACCUCAAUCCAUAUGAGGCGGCUCUUUCGUUCUGAUCUUUCUCGAUCUUUUGAGCUCUCCAUGUCAUUAUAAGUUCUCAGAUCCAAAGAGACCAGUAUGCUUCUCAAGUCUGGCUUGAAUCCAUCCCUAAACCUUCACCUUCUCACUUGAUUCGCCGGGUUCUCAAUCAGUUCUGGAGCAUACUGCGAAAGUUCAACAAAUUUCGCCUCAUAUUGGUCGACGGUCAGGGAACCUUGGCGAAAACGUUGAAACUCUGCCAUCUUCACAUCUCUAGUAGUCUCGGAGAAUUUUUUUCAUUGAAGGCUUCUAAAAAGGUGUUCCACUCUAGAACGACACCUUAUGGAAAUAUUGCUCCUCGAGUAGUCUUCCACCAAGUAUUUGUAACUUCCUCCAAUUGGUAAGUUGCAAGGACUACUUUCUCCGUUUCAUUGCACGUCAGUAGUGCAAAAGCUUUCUUCAACUUCUGGAUCCAUGAAGCAGUAGCUCUAGGGUCUCUUGUCCCAGUGAACUAAGGUGGAUUCAGCCUCAAGAAUUGUUCCACCAGUUUGUAAAUUGGUCUUUCGGCGACUACUAUUCCUAGCGAGCCUUCGACGUGUGCGGCGGCAGGAGUAGCAACAGGUGCGGUGAUAGGUGCAACAACAGCAACAACUACUUGAUUCAAGGUCUAUUGUGCCAUGACAUCCCUCAUGGCCUCUAGCACCUGCAUAAUCCCUUCUAUUCUGAGAUCACCAGGAGCUACUACCCCGGCAUCCACUACAAGUGGUGCCCCUCUACUUGCGCUAGCUUGAGCUGGCGUUCGACCACGACCUCCUCAAGUACCGACCCUAGUCAGUGCUCUACCCCGAGUCACGGCCCUACUGGCCCUCUUGGCAGGAGUUAUUGGCUCCUGAUUGCUCAUGGUGUACCUUUAAUCUACUAAUACCUGCUUCCAAUUUAACACCGAAUUAGAAACAGAGCGAUCCAAACAACAAGCAAUUCUAGCACUCAGCUAACACAAACAUGCACCAACAUGAAUUUAAAGGCCUCUCCUACUACUAUCCUAUGAACCAUUGCUCCUUAUCACUCAAAACUUGAACUCUGCUCUUAUACCACCAAAACGUGAUGUCACGCCCCGAUCCUCGAACGUGUACCCAUCCCUCACUUGGUCGAUUAAUAGCAACGUCCCAAAACACAUCUCCGACCCAUUCAUUUUAAUACGCAUACGGAAGCAUAUAAAUAAAUCCCUAGAUAAUAAAAUAAUGGGAUAGAAAAGUAGGGCUAUAUUUUUCACAACUGAAAAAUAACACAACCACACUUUUAUACAAAGAUAACCCCAUAGUAUAUAAUACAAUACUAUUUACAAGUCUAAUCUACUAUCCCUCUGAUCAAAACUCAAAGUUUGCAAAACAAGGUAGAGGUCUCAAUCUUCGUCGGGAUCAUACUCUGGAUCAUCUUCUAGAUCCUCUUCCAACUCCUCUUCCUCAAGGUCUUCUUCUUCAAACUCCUCCUCUUCAAGUUCCACCUCAGGGUCCUCCUCAAGCUCAUCCACCGGCUCGUCCUCAGGCUCCUCCUCCAUGGGUUCAUCCUCCUGCCACUCCUCCUGGUCCACGAUCUCACCAUCCUCUCCGUUCCAGUUGUCGUCAUCAACUGAGUACACGGGAGCAUGAGCUUCGUCCUCAAGCUUCGAAUCCUUAACAUCCACUACCGACCCAUCCUUAUAAUCGGCCGUUCCUUCUCCGAACGCCUCUUCCAGAACGUACAUAAGCACCUCGCCUUCCGGUAUAGAACCUUCUCUUCACCCAUUGAAGUAAUGACGGUACCAUGAUCAAUACUCAUGGGGCCUCAGGGCGUCCUGACCCACGUCAACCCAGACGGUCGACUUAACCAGUACAUACUCUAAUCCUUCCGGAUGAGGGUGUAUGUAGAAGUGGUAUGCUACCUCUGAAAUCUCUUCAGGGAUGCCAAAAUGCAUCAGAGGACGACGAGGUAGAGGUGCUGCCAUCUAAGGGCCUGAAAUAUUAUCCCACAAUGGGGUGAGACUACGUCUCAGCGAAUUCUACCCUCCUAAGACUCGAUUAGUAAACCAAUACACUAUGGGCUGCCUAAGCACACACGAGUCAGAGGACUUACCUUGGCCUCAGAUCCCACCUGCAAAUCAGUACAAUUCAUAAUAGGCACCCACUUGUUCAACACAGAUCGAACUAUCAAUCAAUCGACCUAGUCAAUUACAUGUCAAUCAAACCAUUCCUCGGUCAUUUCAAUCAGUACCAUACAUUCUCCACGAUGGAAUAUCUAGUUGUUGAGCCCACAUGCAUUCUCUAGGAUGACAUACCGAGUCUCCAAGCCCAUGUGCAUUCUCCAGGAUGACAUACCGAGUUUCCGAGCCCACGUGCUUUCUCCAAGACAACGUAUCUACUCAUCGAACCCACGUACAUUUUCCAAGGUGGAAUAUCUAGUCAUUGAGCUAACAUGCAUUCUUCGAGGUGAUGCAUCACGUCAUCGAGCCCACAUGUCUUUUCCAAAAUGCCAUACUUUAAUCAUUGGGUCCACGUGCAUUCUCUAAGGUGAUGCAUUAAAUCACCGAGCCCACGAGUCCCUUUCAAGAUGCCAUAUUCAAUCACUGAGCCCACUUGCAUUCUCCCAGGUGAUAUAUCGACUCACCAAGCCCACGUGUCUUCUCCAAGGUGAUAUAUAUCCUACCACUAUUCCAAUAUAAUAUGAUGCCAUUCUCCGCGAUGAUAUGCUUAAUCAUCGAGCCGGCGUAAUACUAUACAUAAUCAAUCCCAACUCCACAAAUUCCACUAUUCUCCGUGGUUCACCAAUUUAUUUUUGAUACUGACAACCGAUAUCCGGUUGUUCCUCAAUCAAAUACUCAAAUUCAAUUCAUUUAGGAUAUCCUAAAAAUCCACAAUUAAAUCAAUUCGAUACAAACCAAAGCUCAAAUAAAUAAACGGAUUGCACCACGACAAUCAAAAUGAAAUUCUGGUCACCGAUCAUCCUGGUUGAGUUUUCGAAAAAUAAUUAAUUAUUAAAAAUUAUUUAUUAAAUACUAAUAAAUCCAAUUUAUGCCCAUAUUGCCUAAUUGGGAGCUGGAACGGACCGGGAAAAAUCUCGAGGUUCCUUCAAUAAAUAAUAGAACCUUUCUACUUGCUAAUGACUAUGUCUAACCACCUAACAUGCAUUGGUAAGUCACUAAUUUAAUUAAUCUAAACUAAUCUAACAUGCAAAUCAUGUUUAAUUAACACUAAUCAAUCAUUAAGCAUAAUUAGAAAACUAAGCGAGAUUUAGUGAGUUAAACUCACCCAUUUAACAAUCCAUUCAGAUCGAAACGUCGGGAACUUCGCGGGGGAUGUUUUUCUCCAAAGCGGGCUUAAGGUACAAGGCCCGGAAACACCUCAAAACGGUCUCCAAAGACAAAAACUUCAAUUUCUGAAAUCGUACUUGAAUUCGCAGUUAAUUUCCACUUGGCGCGUUUUUAGCGUGACCUAGGCCACUGGGUAACUUUCAGAAAUUUUUGAGUGUAAAUGACCCGUGGUCAAUUUUCUUCGAGCCACAUUGGACCCACUCAACUCAUUGACAACUUUCGGUUGUCGUGAAAAUCUCGAUGAUUCAAACAUGGACACAUGGUACCAAAAUAAUAAGAAAAUCAUUUUAGUGCCAGUCGACAAGAAUUUUCCAAUUUAGUGGUGUAAUCCACAAUUAGCCACGCAUCUCUGUCAAACCAAUCUAUCUCUGAUUUCAAAUUGAUUUUUAACUGUGCCAUAAUGGCCUCUAAAGAUGAACACGGUCGAGAAGCCGAUUCUUGAUCGAAUUCUUAAGUCUAUUGCUUUAAAAUUUCUUAAUGAUUUCCUCAGAUAGUCUAGUUAUCCCAAGAGUGAUCAGCUCUGAGAAUAGUCCUAUAGGCGCGUCAAUUAAAAUGCCUGAUUUAUUCAAUAGAAAUUUGGAUUGAAAAGCUCCAAGCUAGAGCCAAAAAGAAGCAUACAAAAGAAAUCCCCUCAUGUUUCAAUAAUUACCACUUCGAAGGAUUUUAAAAAGACAAUUUAAGCACAAACAUCGAUUUUACCAAGAGGUACUCUGCAACUAUCUUGAACAAUCCCAUAGCCCUGUCUUUGCCCUGCUUGAUUUCAUCUUCCUUGAGCUCUGCCCCUUCCUUAACAUGACAGUCGUUACUCAUCUUGCAAACGCAUCCACCAUCAGUUGAUGUGCACUUCACCUCAUAGACAAUGAAGUCAAUUUUGUCGAACUUGAUUCCACUUUCAAUCAAAGUAUAUUUGUAGUAGAAAUUCUCAACCUCAAGAGUGUCAAUCUUGUGCUUAGUGUACUAGAUGAGAGCACCUAUUACAUGAAUUCACAAAAGUGAAAAGAUUAAUUUUUUGUUUUGCAUUCUAUAAAUGAAUAUGACACGAUAGAUAAACAUCCAUUAUCUGACUUACUUUCGCCAAACUUGGUAUGCUUAAUACUACCAACUCCACCAUCUCCCUCAAUGAAUUACUCUUGUGCAAGCCCUCGCUCGCUUUCUACAACUUAUUCGUUUUUUUGUUAAUUUUAUUUUAAAUAAUUUAGUUUUAAAUUUAAUUUAAUUAAUAUUAAUAUUAAAAUUCAAAUUUGAGGCAAAACGACGUUAUUUUGGCUCUUCGUCGACCCAGCUCUUAGGCGAGCUAUAUUAAUAAAUAAAAAAUGCCACGUAGGAUUUUCAGCCAAGGUUACCGAAUUUGGCAUUCAAGUGUUCUAAUUUUCAAAAAAAUGGCACUUAAGUAUAACUUUCGUAACUUUUGGUAUCUAAAUGUUCUCCGGUGCCAAAUUUUGAUACUUGCAUUGUACUUCUACCGCUAUAAAUCAACUUGACAUGGUAAAGCUAUGUGUUUGAUCCCACUCACUUUCCCCAACGUUAGUCUAUUUAAUGCUACCAACUCCACCACCUCCCUCAACGAACUCAACACUCUUGAUGCCCUCGGGGACUAUCUUGGGAAUGAUGUUGUGUGACUCAAGGACCAAGCAUCCUCGAUGGAGCAAUGGCAGAUGUGAACUUUUGAGAGUAGGUGAUGACUCAUAUGUUUGCCUUGUAAGAAUCAAAGAGAAAUGAACUUGAGAAGACAGUGGAAGGAUUUGGGUGAUUGCUAUUGAGGAAGGCUUGAGCUGAUGAAGACGAUGAAGAGAAGCGCUUGGUAUUUAUAGUUGGUUAGCUGUUCGAAGCACUCCAAAUUGGACUGAUCAGCCUUGCUUUAAGCCUUUCUUCCUUUCUCAUUGGGGCAGAGCCACCAGUAAUCUAGAAGAUUAGGGACGAGUUCAUUAUAGAUCAAACAUGAAGGACCAUAAUUCUUUGUUCAUGUCGUGUUCACUGACACGGUAGAGGCAGUACAAUCUAAAUUGGUGAUAUAAAUAGAGAUAUCAACUUCAUAGAAAUUAUUUAUCAUGCCGACAAUGUAUUCUUCUAUACAUCAAUUAUUCCAUUUAUUAAAUGUUCACGUUCAUCGAUUAAGAUUCUCUAGACAUUCAAUCAUGUUAACUACCAUAUUCUCAAGUCACUAUUGGAAUAAUUGGAAAUGUCCAUAUAAUAGUUCCAGGCUAUGAUAUUAUUUGUCAAGUAUCGCAUUAAAAGAUGUUUUGAUGUGAUAUGCAUUGAGGUACAACCAGAUUCUAAACCAUUCAAAAUUGAAAAUGAUGGGAUACAACGUGAAUAGUCACCUUCCACAUUAUAGCAUUAAAUAUUGGGAUGGAUAAGAAAUGUGAUUUUUCAAGGCAUGUCUAGAUUGACUUUCACUUAAUUAAUCUUUGCCCUGCAGACCAUUUGACUCUUGUUUAUACCUAAAAAAUUUAAAACUUUCACAACAUACAAAUGGGAAAAAUGGCAUCAGUAGUCCCAAAAAUUAUGCUAAACAUGAAACCAAAUCUUAAACAAUUGAAUUUAUGCAAUAAUUUUUUUUUUACAGGAUGUAGUGUGGUCCUUCUGAUGAGGUAAACGGUCAAAUUCGAUGAUCUUGCACGCAAGAAUCUAUCGUCGUAUUUUAAACUACUUGUUAGCAUACGUGGCACCACAUCAGAAAAUAUAUCAAACAUACAAAAAAUUAAAUUAAAAAAGGAAAAAAAGUUUGGAGAAAACAAAAAUCUUAAAAAUAAACUAGAUCAAGUCAGAGAGAGUGGAGGCGCCAUGGACGAGCGUUCCAUCUCCACGGCGCCGACAAGCGUCGGGAUAUUUUUCAAUAUUCAAACAAUACGACGAAUUUUGGCACGAAAAUAUAACGUGCAUUUUAUUUAUAUGUAAAUGUACACAAAUAUGCUUUCAAGUAAAAACAUUAAAACAAUCGUAAGAAGCAAGCGCGAGGAAACAAAACAUCCUUCAAUGCACAAUUUUAUACAUAUAUACAUACAUACAAUAUAUAUAUAUAUAUAUAUAUAUAUAUAUAUAUAUUUUGUAUGUAUGUAUAUAUGUAUGUAUGUAUGUAUGUAUGUAUGUAAAAGCUAAAGAGGAUUAAGUUAUUUUAAAAUGACUUGUCCGAUCGAAUUACAAUCUUUGAGUCGUAAAACCGUCAUUCUCGGGGACUCUCUAUUGAUUGUGGUUGUGCUAACAUCACAAAAUGCCCAAACGUUUGGUCUGCAGCUUGACCGACAAAAGAUUGUUAAGAUGGCAAUAGGAGGUGAAGAUUACUAAGUUUUGGGAGGGUUUAGCCGAUAAAGAAGACCGGGUCAGGUCGAUGGAGAUGUCAGCGGAAAGUGGCCAAGUGUGGGAGCAAAGAGUCACUAAAUGAGGCAGGUUAACUCGGUCGAUGGGAAAGAAUAUAAGAUGUAGCCGUCAAGUAGCGGGAUAGAUAAGUGUUACCGAAUAAUAGGAGGCACGGAAGGCAAUUUUUAAUUCUUGGUAGCUGUUUAUGUAACCAAAUGUUGUAGAUUUAGAGAGUCAAAGCGAAGCGAAUUCUUUGUAAAAAAAUUGCCAAUCUAUCCAAGACUACGUGUUCAUCUUCAGGUGAUGCCACCCAUCUUUGCCUUGAAACGAACUCAAGUAGGAAAUGGAAGGAUCUGGUUUGGUGUCAUAGAAGAAGGCUUUUGCUGAUGAAGAUGAUGAAGAGAAAUCCAUAGUACUUACAACCAUGGCAAGUCCAUAGUUCAGUACUACAUCAUCAUCAUUCAAAGUACAAAGCACUCCCAAUUGGGCCGGGCCGAACUACUUUCAAGCCUUUCUUGUUUUCCUAUUGGGAGGAGCCAAUCCAGAAGGUUAGGAAAGGACAAAUCACGAUCAAAAGCUCCUUUGUCUGGCCCCGAUUUGCCUGGAUACGAUCUUUCUCGUCAAGAAAAUUGAAUUUCCAUGCUAUGAACUGAUUUAGACACAAAUUUAAGCUUAUAACAGACAGCCAUGACCACCAUUGCUAAGGUAUAUUCUACGUUCGUUCGUUGCGCCAUCAAGGAUGGCCGCAGAGCGCUUUUGCUUUGUUUCUCUUUUCUUUUCGCUUUUGCUCUGUUUCCGAAGGGCAAUUUUACUAGUUUGACUUUUCAAAUGCCUUUGAUAGCUACGUCCUCGGAUCCAAAUCACCGUACUCUAAAUUUGGAUCAACCCACAAAAACAAAUGUCUCUCUUGGGACCCUUCUUUCCAUUUCAAAUUUUUUGCUAAGUUCUUUUCUACCUUUUAUUUUAUUUUAUUUUAUUUUGUUUCUAGCCAAAUUUUCUCCAUUUUGUUUGGCAUGAUGGAUUUAAUUAGGUAAACAAUCUCAAUGUUUGCUUUCAGGAUUUGCGAAGAAGCAUACUACAGCUUAAUUCAUCAAUUUUAAGUUGCAUAGUUAUGAUGAAUACAAUUAGCAGAAAAAAAUUAACAAAUCAAAUUGGAUUUAUUCAUUUUUCCCUCUAUCUCUUCUUUAUGCAAUUGAUCCAUAAGUCAAGUCAAAAUUCGCCUUCAUGACCACAAAGGGAGAUCUUUUCGUGGGUAAAACCCAUAAUUUAUUGAAUUAUUCAUUGCUCCUUCAAGUUUUAUUUUUGGCAUGGCCUUACACACAACCAUCAAAUCCCUUUAUAACGUAGAAAUCACACAAUGAAAACCUUUCAGCCAAAGGCUCCAAGGCAAAGUCAAUGUGAAAACAAAAGAUACAAUAGAGACAUUUCACCCACUUUGCUAUAUCAUAACUCAAAAAUGAUCUUCAGAAUAGCAUUUAGGCACAAACAUCGGGAUUGGCCACAAGGUACUCCUCAAUAGCCUUGUACAAUCCCAUAGCUCUGUCUUUACCCUUCUUGAUAUCCUCCUCCUUGAGCUCACAACCCUCUUGGACGUGGUACUCGCUGGUCAUCUUGCAGACACAUCCACUACCAGUAGCAACGAAUUUCACCUCUUCCACGACCAAGUCAAUCUUCUCAAAUUUGAUAUCACUUUCAAUCAUAGUAUAUUUGCAGUAAAAGCUACCAGCAUCAAGAGCAUCGAUCUUGUGCUUGAUGUACUUGAUGUGGGAGCCUGUUAUGCAAAUUCAUUAAAGCGAAGAAGUUAAUUCUUAAUUCUGAGGUCUAUAAAUAGACUUGACAUGGUAGAAGUAUGAGUAUGAUCUAACUUACUUUCACCGAAGUUGGUUUGCUUGAUGCUACCAACUCCACCAUCUCCCUCGAUGAACUCAAUGCUCUUGAUGCCCUCGGGAACAAUCUUGGGUAGCAUAUUCUGUGAGUCAAGGAACAAAGCCUUGAACAUCCUUGACGGUGCAACGACACUUGUGAUCUCUUGUGAAUAGGUGAUGACACCCAUGUUGGCCUUGUAAGAGAUAAAGAGAACUGAACUCAAGAGGGGGUGGUGGAAAGGUUCGGUGUGAUUGCUAAAGGAGAAGGCUUGAGCUGAUGAAGAUGAUGAAGAGAACUCCUUGGUACUUAUAGGCAAAGUUCAUUGUUUAUUAUUCCAUCAUUCAAGGUCAAAGCACGCCGAAUCGGACCCAGCCGAAUUUCUUUCCAGCCUUUCUUUUUUUUCUUAUUGGCCGGAGCCACCGAUCAUCUGGAAGGUCAGGAAAAAGGACAAAUCACGGUCAAAGCCCUUUGACCGGCCAUUAUUAUAAAUUUUCGCAGACGUUGUGUGCCCAUCACGAUAGUCUAUAGACUCUAUACUUGGUAUUCCACCUCUCUAGAAAAAGUAAUUCAAAGGGAAUAUUUUGGACGUAACAUUAAUCAUCCAUUUUCGUAGCGAAAGCGUAAAAUAGACAAAUCUAGAUAAAUUAAUCUCUUUCUCACCUCCAAAUUGCCUGCAUAAAAUAUUUGUCAAAAAUUGGAUUUUCUAUACCAUAAACUCAUUCAGACACAAAUUUUAGGCUUAAUAUCAUAUGGCCAUGGUCACCUUUGUUAAGGUAUAAUUCUAUGUUCGUUGGUUGCGCUAUCAAGGAUAGAUGCAGAAAUAAGUUUAGGAGCUGAUUCCAUUGGGGAAAGGACAGACUUCUGGCAUAAAGGUCCAAUUUUUAAUAUAGAUGGUGCAUGAAAAGAUAACAAAUGAGCUAUAGGUAUUUUGCAUGAUCGACUAGUGGCUAAGUAGUCCAACCUUGGACAAGAAAAAGAAAAGAAACGUUGGAACUCGUUGAUGGAAGUGUAAGCAGUAGCUCUUAUUCUCGCAUGCAUUUAUGCUCAGUCCCUCGGCAUCAUAAAAGACUGAUUGCGAUGUCUUAAUUAAUGUCUCCCUUCCAUCGCAAAUUCUUACUUGUUGGAGUUAGGCUUGGGCCCAUGAACCUAAAAAUGGAGCUACUCAUGCGCUUCCAAAUUGGGCAUUCAAUCAAUAGGAGCUACCUUUUCCCUUUUACAAACUCCUAUCUAAGUUAAAAAUAUUAUAUUAGUAGUCUUCUUUAAUUUAUUAUUCUAAUGCGGGUAUCGCAUCCUGAAUGUAAUGAAAAGUUAUUUCUAGGGGAUAAAAAAAGGGACAUUGGCGGAGCCCUUUUUUAUUUAUUUUAUCAAGUGGAUCCGAUUUAUUGUGCUUCUGAUUUGUUUAUUGUUAUUCUGGAUAUUGUGCUUCUGUUUACGAAAGGCCAGUUUGCUAGUUUGACUUUUCAAUUGCCACUGUAGCUAAGUCAUGGAAUCGAAAUGACCGUACCCAACACUCCGUACCAAAAACUUAGGUUAUCUCACAAAGGCAAAUGUCCCUGUCAUGACCGUUCUUCCACUUCUUUUAAUAUUUUUCUACCUAUUAUUUUUCUUUUGUGGUAGUUAAAUUUUCUCCCUUUUAUUCAGGAAACAAUGCUUGCCUUCCAUGAUUUUCAAAGAAGAACACUAUAGCUUAAUUAAUCCAUUUUAAGUUGUUUAAUUAUGAUUAAUACAAUUAGUGGAAAAUUUUUAUUUCUUAUAAAUCAAAUUGGAUAAAAAAAAAAAGCAGGGUCCCAAUGUAUUCUCAUCAAAAGCAGAAUGAUUAUGUAACCAAAUGUUGUAGAUUAUAGAGUCAAAGCGAAUUCUUUGUAAAAAAAUUGCCAAUCUACCCAAGAAUACGUGUUCAUCUUUAGGUGAUGCCACCCAUCUUUGCCUUGAAACGAACUCAAGUAGGAAAUGGAAGGAUCUGGUUUGGUGUGAUAGAAGAAGGCUUUAGCUGAUGAAGAUGACGAAGAGAAUCCAUAGUACUUACAAUCAUGGCAAGUCCAUAGUUCAGUACUCCAUCAUCAUCAUUCAAAGUACAAAGCACUCCCAAUUGGACCGGGCCGAACUACUUUCAAGCCUUUCUUGUUUUCCUAUUGGGAGGAGCCAAUCUAGAAGGUUAGGAAAGGACAAAUCACGAACAAAAGCUCUUUCGUCUGGCCCCGAUUUGCCUGGAUACGAUCUUUCUCGUGAAGAAAAUUGAAUUUUCAUGCUAUGAACUGAUUUAGACACAAAUAUAAGUUUCCUAACAUAUAUGUCACUCAUUAUUUCAAGAAAUGAAUAUCACAAAUCAUCAAAAUUGCCAAGUAAAAAUGGCAGCUACCGAUGCUGGGUUUGGCAGAAAUAUUGCUGGUAAAGGUGGUUUUUGUGGGUGAUGUUAUAAUGGUUUAUGGAAAUUGUCGUUGAUGGUGGCAGCCGGGUGUAGGCGGUGGAGAGAGAGAAAAAGAGAGAACAUGAGUACCUGGGCUUUGCAGGCGUGAUCAACUUUGAGUAAGACGUACCUAAUUUAACGUUGGGACAUGGAGACUCAAAUCGGUCUGGACAGAGGAUCCUUCUUAAUUCCCACAAAGUAAUGACAGAAGUCGCUUUGUUGAAAAUGCUUAAGUAGCUUACUAGCUUUCGAGUUGGUUUUAUGUUGUAGAUGAAACUACGAACUCAGUUAUAGUUUUGCUUGUUUAGGUGAUUUAUGUUAGCUUAUAUACUAUAUCACUAGUCAAUUUACAUAAAAUUUACAUGACUGUUUUUUUACCAUGAGAACCCCAAACUAUUUCUUGUAUGUGUGUUGUGAUAUUGAGGGGGUGAAUGAUAACCAUUUUGGUUAGAAAUUAAUUUCUAGAAAAGAAAUAGAUUUUUCUAUUUCUAUUUCUAGAAGAGUUUCUAAGCAAAAAUAACCGUUUAAUAAUGACACAAAAUUUAUACUGUAAAUAUAUAAAUUCAUUUGAUAACGACACAAAAUUUCUUCCUUUCGAACAGCGGUGGACCGGCGACUGGCGACUGGUGGCGGCCAACGACUAGCAUCUGGCAGCUGGCGGUCGGCGUCUAGCAUCUAGCAUCUGGCGUCCGGCAACCCACGACGAGCAACUGACAGAUGGUGGUCGACGGUGACAAAUGAAGGACCGGUUGACAAACGAUAAGAAGAAUUUUUAUUUCUCAUUUAUGUUCCAAAAAUAGAGAAGUAGAAAAUUUUUACUUCUGAUUUCUAUUCCAAACCUAUUUCUGGAACAAAAAUCUAUUUCAGAAAUAGAAAAUUUGAAUAAUUUUAUCAAACAGAUUUCUAUUCCAGAUACAAGUCUGAAAUAGAAAAAUUGUUUCUGGAACAGAAAUAGGUAGUUGUCAUGCACCUCCUGAGUAAUUUAACUCAAACAUUUAUCAAGGAAGAAAGAAGUACUUCCUCUCUAUUUUUUCUAAAUUUAGAGGCAUGAACCUAAAAGCUCGAAUACCUAAGAGUUCAUGGAAUAUCUUGCUAAUCUCAUACAAGUGUUUCGUCUAUGAAGGUGGUCCUAACCCAAAAUAAUAUGCGUGUGAUUGAUAAGAUUUGACCAAAUAACCUCCAAUUUUUUUUUUAUAGGAAAUCCCUUUAUGUGUCAAGCCAGAGGUUUAAAGAAGAUCCAUAAACAAAAAAAAAAAGUGUGUAUUCUUAGGGUGCGUUUGGUAACCAUUCUAUUUUCGGGAAUAAUUUCUUAUUAGAAUUAAUUCUUUUUUAUUCUAUUUCUGAGAACAAUUUCUGAACAAAAGAACGCGUUUGAUAACUGUACAAAAUUUCUGAUUCUGAAAUAGAAAAAAAAAACAUAAAUGCGUUUGAUAACUGCAUAAAAUUUCUAUUCCAAUUCUUUUUCAAUUACCUUUUCAAAUGAGUGUAAAUUUGAUAUUGAAUUCUCAUGGACCACUCACAAAUAUAAUUGUCUUCUUAUGAGUGAAGAAAUCAUAUUAUAUUUUAUUGUAUUUACAAUUUCAAAAGAAUUCGAAUUUAGAAUUCUAUUCCAUUCUAAAAUUCAUCAAAAUCAUAGAAAUUAUAAACUAUAGUAUAAACUAUACCAAUAUACCUAAAAUAUGUAAUAAAUAUAAAUACUAAAUAAUAAAUUAAAAUAGAAAAUCAAAUAUGUAUUCUAUAUAUAGCAAAUAUAUAUAUAUAUAUAUAUAUAUUAGAAUAGAAAGAAAUCAAAUCAUUUUUUUAAUUUUAGAUAAUUUUAUUUUUUUUCCUCUUUUUUUUCUUGUUUUCCUUUCUUUCUCCCCUUCUUCUUCUUCUUCUUCAAGGUAGCCGAUCGCCAGACUUGGGAUGACCAGCGAUUGGCCAAACGAGGGCCAACAACAUCCCCGGAGCGUCGCCAGCCCUCAGCAAGGUUGUGCCUUGUCGGCCGAGCCUCGCCAGCAACUAGGCGAAACUCGAUUGAGCCUUGGCUAGGCGAGCGGCCUCAACCAGAUCUGGCGAGGCCAAGCUCACCCAGCCACUGCAAGGCUCGCCCUCGCUGGGCCACCACAAGGUUAGCCUUGCCUUGGCCGAGCAACACCAUCCUCGCAGUGCUCCGAUGAGGUCGAACCCAGCCGCGACUAGGCAAGCUCAGCCUCGCCAAAUCUAGGUGAGGUCAAGCCUCACCGGUGGCCGAGGGAGGCCCCGACGAGGCCCACUUGGCCACCAGCGAGCUCGCCAAAUCAAUCGCGAGCAAUGGCAAUAGCAGUUGAAGAAGAAGAAAGAGGAAAGAAGAACAAGAAAAAAGAAAUGAAAAGAGAAAAAAUAGGUACUUGAUUCUAAAAUUGUUCCCAGGAACAAAGAUUCAACUUCUUUUUUACUUCUCGAUUAUGUUUCAAAUCUACUUCUGGGAACAAAAAAAUAAAAAUUUGUUCUUAGAAACAAAAAUUUUACCAAACGCAUUUCUAUUCCAAAUCUACUUUCGGGAACAAAAGAACAUAAACAAACACUGUUUGGCAAGUUGCCAAACAAACCCUUGCUACUAAAAAUAGGCAGUGUUUUGAGAAAUAAUUGGCCUACGAAAUUGGCCUACGAAAUUGGCCUACAAAAAAUUCAAAAUUCAUUAGGACAGGGAUAUGUAGUAUAACUUUUCUCUAGAGCCAGAAGGAAAUUUAUGAUAGCAUAAGCAACUGAUGUAUAUGUAGAAGACAUUCUGUACCAAUUCAACUUGAAAAAUUAUAACAAAGGGAGAUCUGGUUGAGGGAAAAAUCCAAGGUAAUGCAUCAAUAUUGAAUUUCUCAUCACUCUUUCAAAUUAUAUCCUGACAUGGCCUUUCGCGGAACCAACAAAUCCUUUUGCACAUACAGGGACACUAGAAAGAAAAACCAUUUUUCACGCAAAAGCUCCAAGCUAGAGCCAAAAAGAAACAUAGAAAAAAAAAAUCACUCAACUUCCAUUGAUUAUCACUCCACAGAAUUUUGAAAAGAAAAUUUAAGCACAAACAGUGGGGUUUGCCAAGAGGUACUCUUCAACCGUCUUGAACAAUCCCAUAGCCCUAUCUUUUCCCUGCUUGAUGUCAUCUUCCUUGAGCUCUGCACCUUCCUCAACAUCAUAUUCACUUGUCAUUUUGCAGACACAUCCAUCAUUAGCCGAUGCGAACUUCACCUCAUAGACAAUGAACUUGAUUUUGUCAAACUUGAUAUCACUUUCAAUCAAAGUAUAUUUGCAAUAAAGUUCUCAACAUCAAGAGCAUCAAUCUUGUGCUUCGUGUACUUGAUAUGAGCACCUAUUACAUGAAUUCACAAGACUGAAAAGAUUAAUUUUAAGUUUUGUGGUCUAUAAAUGAACUUGACAUGGUAGAUAAACAUAUAUUAUCCAACUUACUUUCGCUAAAGUUCGUCUGCUUAAUGCUGCCAACUCCACCAUCUCCCUCAAUGAAUUUGACGCUCUUGAUGCCCCCGGGGACAAUCUUUGGAAUGAUGUUGUGAGUCAAGGACCAAAGCCUUGAACAUUCUCGAUGGAGCAACAACAGAUGCGAACUCUUGAGAGUAAGUGAUGACACCCAUGUUUGCUUGUAAGAAGCAAAUAGAAAUGAAUUCAACUAGGAAAUGGAAGGAUUUGCUGUUAUUGCUAUUAAAGAAGCUUGAGCUGAUGAAGAUAGUGAAGAGAAUUACUUGGUAUUUAUAGGCAAGUUGAGAGUUCAGCAGCCUAUCAUCAUUCAAUGUUCAAAGCACUCCGAAUUGGACCAUUCGUCCUUGCUUUAAGCGUUUCUUCAUUUCUUAUUGAGCGGAGCCACCGUUCAUCUAGAAGAUGAAGAAGAAAGACUUCAUUUUUCAAACACGAUGAAAAUCAACCUUGUAUUAUAAGUUAUUAUGUUACGAUCUUCUUAUAACCUUGUUAACAUAGAAGAUGCCCAGUUUGUUAUGUAGGAAUCCAAAGAUAUUCAUCAUCAUAACUACUACAUUCUCAAGCAACAAUUCUCGUGAUUAAAUAGGACUACCAAUAUUAUACUGUUGUAGUACAUGAAGUCCUUAAGUAAUAUUGCCUGAGGCACUACUAGAUUAAUAAAACUAUUGAAGAUUGUAAACGAUGAACAACGAAAUUGGUCAACUUCCAAUUCACCCCUUUCGAAUAUUAAGAUGUAGAACAGAAAUGUCUUUUGAAUGACGAAGACUAAUACAACUAUGCAUGACUUCAUAAUCUUUUGUGUACGGCAAUUUGUGGAUUAGUCUUUUUCUGGAUAACACCAAAAAUGGUCUCAGGCAAAGGCAAGAGUCUCGCUUGUCGGUGGUGGCCAGCUGGGUGUUGCGACUCAAUCCCAUUCACACGGGUCGAGCCCCAGAAGAAAUACCUGUGCGAUGACGGCUUCUUUAUACAUCAUUGAACAUAGUCUGGUCGGAUCUGGUAUGCGUUUAGUUUAUCCUCAAACCACAUAUCUACUAUAGGAUCACUAUAACAACUAACAUCUCACCCGGAUCCCCGAAGGCCAAGAGCUUAAACAAGUAUUCGAAAUAAUUGUGUAAGAUGUUGACUAUUUGAGGUAUGUUAACUUAUAUAUCAAUCAAUAGGGUAUUUCUCAUCGGGUAAUUACAGAACUUAUAUGAAAUUUUCACUUCAUACGACUCCGGAUUUGGAAUGUCACAAGAGAUCUCUCAAAUGCAUUAUAUUGCUCCAGCUAAAUGGGGCACUAAAGUUCCUCUGCGAAAGGCAAUUUAGCUCAAAAUAUUCGCAUCAAGGACAGGACACGGAACGUGAAAUUCUAUUUUAGUUAUAAUGACCUCUCUUACUUGUUGCGAAGAGUUUGUGGUUGUAGUAUUGUAUUUUUAAUUGGGCAUUGUUAAUGAAUACUUCCGGUACUAAUUACGCAUACUAAAUUGGAAUAAUUCAAUUAUCAAAUGCUAAUUGCAAAUGACACAAGAAUAGUCGGUGCAAGAGAAAAUGUAAAACUUGUGGGAUUGGUUAUUCAAUAAGUGCUCUAGGAACACUCAUUAACAAAAUUCUUUUUAAUAUUUAUAUUCCACUAUAUAACAUAAUCAUAAUCUCGUAUAUUAAUAAUCAUCAAGAGUCCAUAUGGUACAAUCAUGGCUGAAUUGUAAUUCUGUCGGGUUGUAUUGCAGUUAUGCUGCUAAGUGCUACAAGUCAUGUGCUUAAAAAUAUAUGUUUUAAAGUUCCAGUACCUCAAAAUCGGGUGACGCAACUUCCUAAAAACUGUUGUAACUAUGGAGGUGUUGUUAGAGAUGAGCAAAUUGCUCGGUGGCUUGAGAACCCAAACCGAACCGGCCAAAUUUUUCAAGCUCUUAUAGGCCCGGGCCGGGUCACCGGGGUUGAAAUAAGUAUUUAAUAUGGUCCAUUUGGUCUUUCAGGAUUCAAGGUACAUGAAGGAAAAUUUUGGGGUUACAUUUGGUAGUUGGAAUAAAAUUAAGGAUAUAAUAUAACAAAAUCCCUAAAUUCCAUACUCUAUCCUAUCUAGUCUUAUCAUUGCUAGAAAUUUUUUCAAGUUUCUUGUGAAAGUCUUUUCUUGUUGUCAAGAAACAAUUUGAAGGCAGUGUUAACACACCAUUUUGUUCCGUGGAUAUUGUCAAAAUACCGAAUCAGCAUCACUAAAAUGUAUUAUAAGGAACUUUUAUCACUCUCUCCGACAAAGUGACACCAAAACAGAGUGCUCUGUUUUUCUUAUGCGCUCCAAAUUCUUUUGCCUGCCUUUCGGCUCACAUGCUAUGCUUUUCGGAAGCCACAAGCAUUAGCACCAAUGCCGUUAAGUUUCCAAGUUUCCAGGUCCCGAAAAUUUGCAAAGUUAUUGAGAUGGGAAGUGAAGUCAUAGUAAGUGAAAAUAACUGUUUGAUAAUGCAUCAAUCAUUGAAUUGCUCAUUGCUUUUUGAAGUUUUAUUCUGACAUGACCUUACACAUAACCAACAAAUCCUUUUGAACAUACAAAUUCCUAGAAGAACCAUUGCCCAAGCAAAAGCUCCAUGCUAGAGCCAAACAAGCACCAAAAAGAAAAAAAGAAAAAAAAAAUCACCCUGAGCUCCGGGGUUAUCACUCCAAAGGAUUUUGAAAAGACAAAUUAAGCACAAACAGCGGGGUUUGCCAAGAGGUACUCUUCAACUGUCUUGAACAAUCCCAUAGCCCUAUCUUUUCCAUGCUUGAUGUCAUCUUCCUUGAGCUCUGCGCCUUCCUCAACGUGAUACUCACUAGUCAUCUUGCAGACACAUCCACCAUUAGCUAAUGCGAACUUCACCUCAUAGACAAUGAACUUGAUUUUGUCGAACUUGAUAUCACUUUCAAUCAAAGUAUAUUUGCAAUAAAAGUUCUCAACAUCAAGAGCGUCAAUCUUGUGCUUCGUGUACUUGAUAUGAGCACCUAUUACAUGAAUUCACAAUAGUGGAAAGAUUAAUGUUGAGUUUUGUGGUCUAUAAAUGAACUUCACAUGAUAGAUAAACAUAUAUUAUCCAACUUACUUUCGCCAAAAUUGGUCUGCUUAAUGCUGCCAACUCUACCAUCUCCCUCAAUGAACUCAACGCUCUUGAUACCCCCAGUGACAAUCUUUGGAAUGAUGUUGUGUGAGUCAAGGAUCAAAGCCUUGAACAUUCUUGAUGGAGCGACGGCACAUGUGAACUCUUGAGAGUAAGUGAUAACACCCAUGUUUGCCCUAUGAGAAGCAACGAGGAAUGAACUCAAGUAGGCAAUGGAGGGGAUUGGUGUGAUUGCUAUUGAAGAAGGCUUGGGCUGAUGAAGAUAGUGAAGAGAAUUGCCUGAUAUUUAUAGGCAAGUUGAUAAUUCUGCAGUCCAUCAUCAUCGAAAGUUCAGAGCACCCCGAAUUGGACCGUUUGGCCUUGCUUGAGUGUUUCUUCAUUUCUUAUCGGGCGGAGCACCGGUUAUCAAGAAAAUGAAGAAGGAAGACUUCCUUUUGCAAACAUGAUGAAUCUAAACAAUAGAAUAGGUUGCACUUUAAUUUUUUUUAUCAACAAUUCAUAUUAUAAGUUAUUAUAUUCUAAUCUUCUUCUGCCCAGUUUUUUUUGUAGGAAUCUAAGCAUAUAUAGAAUAAUUCAACUUUUAUAAAAUUGUAGGUUAUGAACAACGAAAUUGGUCGACUUUCCAAAAGCAUCACAUUCGAUUGGUAAGAUAUCGACGAGAAACACAUAAGAUUUUUAAUUUUGAAUGAAAAACACUAAUAUUAUUAUGCAGGUUUGACAUAUAUAUAUCGUUCACAAUAUACAAGCAUUGAAAAAUUGCACCAGACAGCCCAAAAGGAUUGGCCAAAUAUACAAUCAAAUACUAAACAUUUCAAACUGUGCAAUUAAAUCUUAAAUGUUGUUUACCAAGUGCAAUUUGGUCCUUUUGGUGAGGUUGUGGUCAUUAUUUGAAAAUAUGGCAUGCGAGAACUCAAUGUAGCAUUUGUAAAAUUCGUUUUGUAGAAAAGAAUGGGAUUGAUUCCAUCUUACCAUAUAUAAACUGUGGAAUAUCAAAAUUUUCCAUACUAAGGUCGUCUAUGACUAAGUAUGCCUCAUUUGCAGGCAAUUAUAUUUUCAAUUUUUUGACUUUACUCAAUCUCUCAAAAAGUCUUUGUAUAAGUUUGUUCAUCUAGAAGUAGGACCAGUCCAAAGUGGAGUGCUACGAAAAUAUUGAACUUGAAAUCUUUGUCAGCUAAAACAACUAAAUCAUUACACACACAUUCCUGAAAUCUAUAUAUACCCAUCCGUUGUUGCUCAAAAUCUUCGCAGCAAACUCAACAGGUUUCUUCUCCCUUCAAGCAAGUCUUUUACACCUUGCUACUUCAUUUUCAGAUCUUUACGCUCAGAAACAAACAUGGGCGCCACUACCUUUAUCCAAGAAUUCACAACUCCAAUUGCUCCUCAAGAAUGCUCAAGGCUUUGAUUCUUGAUUCCCACAAUCUCAUCCCCAAGAUUGUCCCCCAAAGCAUCAGGAGCAUUGAGUUCAUUGAAAGAGAUGGAGAAGUCGGAAGCAUUAACCAAACUAACUUUGCUGAAGGUUCUCGAUGUCCGUAAUAAGUGAUGCGCAUAUACUCUCGUAUUCAACCUACUUGUUGAAUCCUAUUGUAGUGAUUCUAAGGGAGAGCAUGAUCCUAAACUUAGCUGGGGGAGAAUUUUUCACAAAAUAAGUCGCCAAAUUGAAACGCUUGCUUAGAAUCACCAUAAUAGGAAUAAGUAAGAAGAAUGAAUCUGAGUAGACGCAUAACUAAUUAAUGAUGAUAGAUACCUUCGGUGAAGUUAGUCUGGUUGAUGCUUCCAACUCCUCCAUCUAUUUCAAUGAACUCAAUGCUCUUGAUGUCCUGAGGGGCAUUUCGGGAUGAGCUGUUGUGAAUCCAGAAUCAAAGCCUUGAACAUUCUUGACAGAAAAAUUAGGGUUGUGAAUCAGAAUCUUAGAUGAAGGCAGUGACGCUCAUGUUAAAAGCAGUUUUUUUUUUUUUUUUGGAUAAUGGAGUCUAUUGAUGUUUUAAAUGAAUUAUGUAACCUAUCUAAUUCAUUUUCAAAAGCCAUGUUUCGAACCUCAUUCUGAAGAUAACACAAAAUUAGCUACUUCUGAAAUUAUAAGAAACUUCUUCAUUUUUUUAAUGUUUGUAAAAAUUAAGUGGUUAAGCUCCUGUUCGAUUUGGAGAAAGGGAAUUCAUGCCCAUACAAGAAACACAUCCGUAGGUUUACUUACCAGUAGGCCCUUAUUGGUAAGUGUCACCGAAUAAUAGGAGGCGCAGCAGGCAAUUUUUAAUUCUUGGUAGCUGUUUAUAUAACCAUACGUCGUAGAUUAUAGAGAGUCAAAGCGAAUUCUUUGUAAAAAAAAUUGCCAAUCUAUCCAAGAAUACAUGUUCAUCUUUAGGUGAUGCCACCCAUCUUUGCCUCGAAACGAACUCAAGUAGGAAAUGGAAGGAUCUGGUUUGGUGUGAUGGAAGAAGGCCUUAGCUGAUGAAGAUGACAAAGAGAAAUCCAUAGUACUUACAACCUAGGUUGCACCGACAUGGACACGCGACACGACACAACAUGACACGCCGACACGUUAUUUCUCAAAAAUAGAGAAUUUCGACACGUUCCGACACGUUAUAUAUUAAAUAAAUAUUUGAAUAUAUAAAUACAUAAGUAACUAAAUAAUAAUAAUAAUAAUAAUAAUAAUAAUAAUAAUAAUAAUAAUAAUAAUAAUAAUAAUAAUAAUAAUAAUAAUAAUAAUAAUAAUAAUAAUAAUAAUAAUAAUAAUAAUAAUAAUAAUAAUAAUAAUAAUAAUAAUAAUAAUAAUAAUAAUAAUAAUAAUAAUAAUAAUAAUAAUAAUAAUAAUAAUAAUAAUAAUAAUAAUAAUAAUAAUAAUAAUAAUAAUAAUAAUAAUAAUAAUAAUAAUAAUAAUAAUAAUAAUAAUAAUAAUAAUAAUAAUAAUAAUAAUAAUAAGAGCCUAGAAUUGUAAUAAUCCUACAUUUGUUAAUAUCAUUCAUUGUUUUAAUUUGACAAAUUCAACUACAUUUCAUUGUAAUAAUCCAUAAAACUUGGACGAAAAAAAAGUAAUCCCCGUUUCAUUAUUACAUUUAAAAUUUAACAAUAAGAAAAAAAAUCAACAUUUCAUCAUCAAAUAUAACAAAAUGUCAUUCAUCCACAUUAUCCACUUCUUCUUUAAAAAAAACUCUCCGGCUCACCAAGUGAAAAAUUUGCAAUUUCAAGCACCCAACAUCUUCAAAUGAGUAUUAGAAAUUUGUUUUAGCUUUUAUUAUUAUUUUAUUACUUUUUUAUAUAUUUAUAUUUAGACCCCAAAAGUUUUGGAAAUUUGUAAAAAUAACCCCGUGCGUGUCGGAGUCACGUGUCGGAAUUUCCGACUCGCGUGUCAGAGCGUGUCCAAGGCAAUUGACCACGUGUCAGAUUUUCCAACACGCAUUGACCGCGUGUUGGAGCGUGUCGAAGCAUGUCGGACACGACACGAAGGGUCCCGGAGAGUGUUCGUGCAACCUAGCUUACAACCAUGGCAAGUCCAAAGUUCAGUACUCCAUCAUCAUCAUUCAAAGUAUAAAGCACUCCCAAUUGGACCAGGCCGAACUACUUUCAAGCCUUUCUUGUUUUCCUAUUGGGAGGAGCCAAUCCAGAAGGUUAGGAAAGGACAAAUCACGAUUAAAAGUUCCUUUGUCUGGCCCCGAUUUGCCUGGAUACGAUCUUUCUCGUCAAGAAAAUUGAAUUUUCAUGCUAUGAACUGAUUUAGACACAAAUUUAAGCUUAUAACAGACAGCCAUGACCACCAUUGCUAAGGUAUAUUCUACGUUCGUUCGUUGCGCCAUCAAGGAUGGCCGCAGAGCGCUUUUGCUUUGUUUCUCUUUUCUUUUCGCUUUUGCUCUGUUUCCGAAGGGCAAUUUUACUAGUUUGACUUUUCAAAUGCCUUUGAUAGCUACGUCCUCGGAUCCAAAUCACCGUACUCUAAAUUUGGAUCAACCCACAAAGACAAAUGUCUCUCUUGGGACCCUUCUUUCCUUUUCAAAUUUUUUGCUAAGUUCUUUUCUACCUUUUAAUUUUUUUUUUUUUUUUUUUCUAGCCAAAUUUUCUCCAUUUUGUUGGGCAGGAUGGAUUUAAUUAGGUAAGCAAUCUCAACGUUUGCUUUCAGGAUUUGCGAAGAAGCAUACUACAGCUUAAUUCAUCGAUUUUAAGUUGCAUAGUUAUGAUGAAUACAAUUAGUGGAAAAAAAAUUAAUAAAUCAAAUUGGAUUAAUUCAUUUUUCCCUCUAUCUCUUCUUUUUGCAACUGAUCUAUAAGUCAAGUCAAAAUUCUCCUUCAUGACCACAAAGGGAGAUCUUUUCGUGGGUAAAACCCAUAAUUUAUUGGAAUGUUCAUUGCUUCUUCACAUUUUAUUUUUGGCAUGGCCUUACACACAACCACCAAAUCCCUUUAUAACGUAAAAAUCACACAAUAAAAACCUUUCACCCAAAGGCUCCAAGGCAGAGCCAAUGUGAAAACGAAAGAUACAAUAGGGACAUUUCGCCCACUUUGCUAUAUCAUAACUCAGAAAGGAUCUUCAAAAUAUCAUUUAGGCACAAACAUCAGGAUUAGCCACAAGGUACUCCUCAAUAGCCUUGUACAAUCCCAUAGCUCUAUCUUUACCCUUCUUGAUAUCCUCCUCCUUGAGCUCGCAACCCUCCUGGACAUGGUACUCGCUGGUCAUCUUGCAAACACAUCCACUACCAGCUGCAACUAAUUUCACCUCUUCCACGACCAAGUCAAUCUUCUCAAAUUUGAUAUCACUUUCAAUCAUAGUAUAUUUGCAGUAAAAGCUGCCAGCAUCAAGAGCAUCGAUCUUGUG